AGAUUGGGGAAUCCGUGGCGGAGACCCUGAGCGACUCGAGUCGAAUCACUGGGAGGAGGGGUCUGGGUCUAGCCAACCGUCGUCGUCGAACGGCGAGUUGACCCGGUGGUCGGGACCGAGUCGUCUUCGGGCUGAGGGAACGAGGCCAUGAUGCCACUGAUGAGCGAAAUGCUCCAAGGGCAAAACUCACGCAGGAAGAAUAUCGGCACGCUUUAUGUUAGGCUGGCCGACUCACUGGGCCUUCAUUGGUCCCUGACAAUAUCUGGUCCAAUAUUUGAAUUCACUUCCCUCGAGCCCGCUUCCGCUCCUCAUUCGCUACCCAGAGAUCAAGUUCUCAAGGUUCGAUGUUUCCUCCUGAACUUCUUCCCUCCUGCUCGAUUUGGAUUGGAACGAAAAAGCUCCAACAUGGAUCAAUUUUCUUCCCCUCACGAUUAUUUAUUUCGGUAUUGCAUUCAUAUUGGCUUUUCAUUUUUUAUUAAUUUUUGGUUAUGUGAUUAGUGAUUAUUGUUCGUCAUUUUAUUUUGGGUUUUUCUUUCUGUUGUUUUUAGGGUUUUCUGCUCUGCAAAUUUCGAUCAAAUUGUCUGCAUUUGAAUUAUUUUGUAAUUAUCGUAAUUUAUAUUGGGUGGAAUUGGCCUUUCUAUUCUCCAAAAUCUUUUUUAAGAAUUGCAUUUUGCUUAAAUUUUGCGAGUUCAAAAAAAAAUUGAGACUUUUUCUGAUUUUAAAUUAUUGACACAGUUCCGAAGCACUGUGUGUUAAACAGUGGAAUUUUGAUUUUUGGAAGCAGGGAUUCAUUACCCGGGCAAAGAUGCCAGCAAAUACAGAGAAAGCCCACAACAAGGCAAGUAAACAGGAAAGAAAAUAGAAACAGCGGACAGAAGAGGGAGUUACAAGGAAGACAUAAUAGCCAAGCUAGCAUGUCGCCCCCUCCACUGCGCCCCAAAAAACCUUACAGAGGACAGGGUAAUCCAUCACAAUGGAGCACAAAAACCAGAGAAGAUGCGGGUCUAUUGACCCAUGAAACAUCGCACAUCUCUACACACCGAUGGGACGCCAGAGAGUCCGCCGCCGUAUUGGCUGAUCUUGGAAUCCAAGACCAGCGACAAUCUUGGAAAGACUCUCCUAACCCCUUAGCUUUCACUAAAGAAGGAAAGGCUUCCCAAUUGCCCAUCCUAAGAGAAACCGAAAGAGAGCUAAUAGAAUCUUGGGAGUCAGACUCAACGAUUACCUUUUGAAGUCCCAGAGCUAACCCAAAUUGACAACCCAUAGAAAUGGCCAUUGCUUCAAUAACAUUCACGCAAGGAGCCGUGAUAGAAUGUCUGAUUGCAGCCACAAAGGAUCCAUCAGCAUCCCGCAGAACAAUGCCAACGAAACCAGUUCGCGUUAACGCUGACCAGCUGGCGUCAACGUUAAUUUUAGUGUACUGCAGAGGAGGAGUGGCUUAUCUGGCCUCCAGAGUAGCCACAGUUCGACGGACAGGGAAGUCCGGGUUCCUACGGACAGCUUCGAAAAAAGCACUAGCCGAGUUGGAAAUAGCCCACAGCACCUGAGAGGGAUUGAUAAGGUUGUUAUUAUACACAAAAUUGCACCUGGCUUUCCAAAUGUGCCAGCACGAGAAGGCAACAAACGAAAUGAGGGACAACCUGUCAUCAUUUGGACCGCCAAGGACAUUUGAAGCAGAAAUGAACCACUCCACCCAGUUCGAAACCUCGGUCCUCGCAAUCUUGAGAUUGAGAGCACCACCAAACCAAACGGGUUCCACCCAAGGGCAAAAUAACAAUAAGUGCUCGACGGAUUCUUCCUGAUUAUGACAAAUGGGGCAAUUCGGAUAAGGCAUAGACCGCUUUUUAAACAACUCAGACAUCGUUGGGAAAGCACCAUGGAAGGAUUUCCACAUAAAAUGUUUGAUCUUUGCCUGUACUCUAAGUUUCCAGAUAAGCUUCCAAACCCGGCUUGGGAUAACAAUGGGAGCACGGGAAUGUAAAGCCAUUGGGUGGUUGAAACGGGCAUGCACCCAAUGAUACCCGGUCUUCACCGAAUACUGCCCAUUCUUGGUCCCCGGCCAAAUGAACCGAUCCUCACUCCUCAAAUCACCAAUAAAAGUAUCCCUAAUGGCAUUGAGAUCCUCUGCCGGAAGAAAAGGUUAGAGCGAAUUAAGGUCCCAGGUGCAAGAAUCAGGGCAAAUGAAAGACCUCACCCGAGUAUUCAAGGUAACUGACACCUCACCACCAGGGGUGGGAUUACCCAACGGGAUGGAUGGAAGCCACCUGUCAACCCAUACCCACACUCGCUGCCCAUCCAUGAUUUGCCAGUGGGCCCCCUUCAACAGUAAAUCUCUGCCACCAGUAAGUUGGACCAAACCCAUGAAGCACGACUGCCCUUCUAAGCAUCAAGAAAGGAACAGUUAGGGAAAUACCUGGCUUUAAGAACAGACGCCCAUAAAGAAUUUGGCUCCAUAAUCAACCUCCAGCACUGCUUAACAAGAAGGGCAUCGUUAAAGGAUUUGAAAUUUCUAAAACCUAAACCCCCUGCAGAUUUUGGAAGACCCAUCUCUUUUUUGGAAACCCAUUGAAUUUUCCUCUCCCCAUUUUUCUGACCCCACCAGAACCCAAAAAUCAAAGAGUCUAACUCAUUGCAAAUAGAGUCCGGGAACUUAAAUAAAUUCAUCGAGUAUGCCAGAAUGGCUUGGGCAACAGCCUUAAUCAUCACUUCUUUGCCACCCUGAGAAAGCGUACACUGUUUCCACCCCUGAAUUUUCCCCAACAAACGACCUUUCAAAUAAGCGAGACCACGAGACUUGGAACGGCCCCAAAUGGCAGGGAGACCGAGAUAAGAACUUGGGUGAGUAACCACCGGAAUGCCAAGAUCACACCCAAGAUCAGCCGCCACAUCCAUAGGAGUAUUAACACUGAAGUACACACACGAUUUCUGAAGGUUCACCACCUGACCUGAAGCCGAGCAAUACGUUGCCAAUAAUCUGCUCAAGUUGUUGCAAUUAGCUUUAUCUGCCUUCAAGAAGAUCAAAGUGUCGUCAGCAAAAAAAAUGUGGGAAAUAGGCGGGCUGUGGGUAGACAUUCGAACCCCCUGUAGUUGAUUAGACUGAAUGGCAAUACAAAUCAUUUUGGACAAAACGUCACUUAUCAAAAGAAACAGAUAAGGGGAGAGAGGGUAUCAUUGCCUUAAACCUCUUGAAGGAGCAAAUUUGUUACCGGGUUGCCCAUUGAGAAUAACAGCAAAGUUGACAGAGCACACACAUCCCAUGAUGAGCCGACGCCACACGGGGUGAAACCCCAUCUUCUCCAUAACUGCAUCUAAAAAAUCCCACUCCACCCGGUCGUAAGCUUUGUGCAUAUUGAGCUUGAUACCAAGUUCAAACUUGCUCUUAGUUUUCCUGAGUUUCAGGAAGUGGAAUAACUCAUGAGCAAUCCCAAUAUUGUCCUGGAUCUGUCGGUCCCCAACGAACGCAUUCUGCAUGGGAGAAAUAAGGCUCGGCAAUAAAGGUUUCAAUAUAUUAGUUAAAAUCUUAGAUAAGACUUUAUAGGAAAAAUUACAUAAACUAAUAGGUCUGAAAUGGGAAACAGACUCCGGGUUCAGGAUUUUAGGGAUGAGAACAAUAUGGGUCGCGUUGAGCUGUCGAGGACAAGUUUCACCAUUAGACAAUAAUAAGACAAGAUCAUAAACAUCCUUAGCAAUACAAUCCCAAAAGGAAUGGUAGAACACCCCUUGGAACCCGUUUGGCCUCGCGGCCUUGAAACCACCCAUUUGUCGGGCAGCCAUCCUAAUUUCCUCCUCCGAGAUCGACUUCAAUAAUGAUUGGUUCAUAUCGUCCGUGACAACCUAGCUGAUGCAUUCCAGAGCCUGGCCCCAAUCCCUUGGUCCAGAAGAAGUAAAGAGAUUGAUGAAAUAGUCGUUAACCACUUGGUGCACACGUCGUGGAUUCUCCUCCCAAACCCCGUCUUCCAUCAAGAUUUUCACUACCUUGUUUCUCCGUCGACGUUGUAAAGUAGACUGAUGGAAGAACAAAGUGUUUGCAUCUCCCUCUCGGAGCCAUUUAGUCAUUGAUCGUUGUUUCCAGAAACUUUCCUCUUGUUCCCGUAACAAGUCAACCUCGAUGGUCAACUUCAGAAUUGCCUCCCUAUUUGGUCCCCAGUUCAAUUGUAGUUCCCCUAGCUGGUCCAUUAGAACUGCAAUUGCCUCUGUUCUAUGGUUGAACUUUCUUUUGCUCCAAGAGGUCAGUUUGGAUCGACAAACAUUAAUCCGAGACUGCCACCUUGUGAUAGCGUCCCCAGGGCAUUGGCGGUUCCAACAGGACUCGACAAUACUUCUGCACUCCUAUUCCUUUGCCCACAUUGCUUCAAAACGAAACCUUUUUCUUCCUCUUCUCUGGUUCGGCUCACAACUAAUCAAGAUGGGGCAGUGAUCUGAGCCCACAACCGUGGCGUGAUUGACCAAAGUAUUUGGCCAAGUGUUCUGCCAGAGCUGAUUACAUAAGCCUCUGUCUAUCCUUUCCUCCACCAACUCCCCAUUUCGAAUCCCUCGCCAAGUAAAAGGAGACCCAUUAAAGUCAAGAUCAUUCAACUCUACCUCCUCCAUGAAAUUAGCCAAGUACCGAGGUUGGUUAUAAAGAACCGGAGCCCCACCAGAUUUCUCGGACUCCCAUAAUUGAGAUUGUAGUAAUUGCCGUACAAGUUUAUACUUUUGUGUGGAGAAACCAGCUGGAUUAAUAAUCAUCUUAUUUUGAUCAAAUUUUGCAGUAUAAAUCAUGAUCGCAUAUUUUUGUUUGUAUCAUCUUACUAGAUUUUUUUUUUUUUGAAAACUACCCAUUAGAUUUAGGUUAAUCAUCAUGACAUUGGAAUUCAAGUUUUUGUUUGUAUCAGUGCAUGCUAUUGCUAAUCACCAAAUUAAUUACGUUUGUUGAAAUUUUUGGAAUAAUUAUUUUUUAAAUGCCUGAUUACUUAAACCUCACUGAGAGAAAAUUUUAGGGCGUUGUGCACAGGUAAUUGGAGCUACUGCAACAUUUUAUCAUUGACAUGGUUGGAAUGUGUAGAAAUUUAACGGUGAGGGAGUAAAUUUCUAUUUAAAAUAAUUCAAGUGACAGUGAUCAUAAAAUUCAGUGGCAAAUUGAUAAAGUAGUCUUGAACUAAAUUAACCAUCUACUUAGAGAUACAUCAAACAUCUGCAUGCACAUUUAUUCCUAAUAUUGUGGAAUUUGGCAAAGCAUAUUCAUUGUGGUGUAUUUGGCAAAACUUGAGUCUCUUUGUCUGUUCCGAUAUGAUAAUGCGAUUUUAAGUUAGGCAUUAGCCAUGAUUUCAUUUGCGCAAUUACGAAAUAUCAAAAAGUACCCUCUCUGCUAAGGAUAAUACACUCCUGCGGGAACUGGACAUCCCAAUAUUUUGCAAUCUGAUUACAAAUUAUCUACCAAAAGUACAUACCGCUAUCAAUUAUAUGAUAUUUUUAGAUCAUGGUCCACUAAAAAGUAUUAAACGUGUUAUGAAUAGAAACGCAUUAUAAUAUGGAUUUCUUUUUACAAUGGAAUUAUCUACAAAAAAGUUCUCAAUGGUGGUUACAGUGGAGACCAAUAUUUAGAACACAGUGGACAAGUCUUUACAAGCCAAUCCUACCAGUAAUAGAAACCACAUCCUUUGUGUCUCUGCUUACAUGCUUUUUAACAUGGAGAGAAAUUUCAUCUGUAUUUCAGAAUUAUUGGUCUUCUUGAUGUUCAACUGUAUGGAAAUGGUUCUUGAAAUUGUAUUUCGGAAUUAGUGAUCUUGAUUCGGAACAAAAUGACUAAUUUCCUUCUUACAUUCCACAUGUAUGUAAAUAGUAUCGGUAUUAUAUAAAUGUUUGUGUAAAUCUUACAUGUUCUAUAGAGUUUUGAAACUCACAGCAUAAGAGACCUCUGUUUUCUAUAUUGAUAUAUUUCCUAAAUAUUUUUAAAGACCCGCGGCAACGCCGGUGCACUUUUUCUAAUCUUACAUACUUACAGGCACUUUUUCUAAUCUUACCUACUUUGCAUGAACCUUCCAAUACGGUAGAAAACUAGCAUUUUUGAAUUAAGAAUUAUUUUUUAAAUGCCUGAUUACUUAAACCUCACCUAGAGAAAAUUUUAGGGCGUUGUGCAUAGGUAAUUGGAGCUACUGCAACUUUUUAUCAUUGACAUGGUUGGAAUGUGUAAAAAUUUAACGGUGAGGGAGUAAAUUUCUAAUUAAAAUAGUUCGAGUGACAGUGGUCAAAAGUUCAGUGGCAAAUUGAUGAAGUAAUCUAGAACUAAAUUAACCAUCUACUUAGAGAUACAUCAACCUAAAUUAACCAUCUACUUAGAGAUACAUUAACAAACAUCUGCAUGUACAUUUAUUCCUAAUAUUGUGGACACUAUAUAAUGAUUGCCUACGAUAUUGUUGUUUACCAACUUGCAUUCCAAAUUUGAAAGAUCAUCUUUUACCAUAUGGUGCACUUUUACUGAGAAUGUAGCGUUUAUGUGAUUAAUUGUUCAGUUUACAUGUUUUUUGUUGUGGUGCACCAUAUGGUGAUGCAUAAGCUCGAGAGGUCCUCUGGAUUUUGGUAGUUGCAAAUUUGCAAUGAUCAAGAAACAUGGGACAUGAUACUAGAAAAUGUGUUUGUAGAUUCAAAAGUUAACCGUUGUUAAUGUUAUCAUAGUGGAAUUUCAUUGGAUUUUGAUGUUGGGAUACGAUGAAUCAUGAUCGGGUUAUGAUUAAUGCUAAUUAAUGAUAUGAAUCAAAUGCUUGCAGUGUGUAAUUAUGAUUGGAUUAAAGGAGUUUGGGCUUUUUCUCUAAUGAAAGUUAUAAAACAAAUUGUAAGUUUAGAUACUUCACAAGUCAGAGGCCAAGUCUUAAAAUAUAUUUCGUAAUGUUUUCAGAUAAAUGUUUUCAAUUUUUGCAGUGGGAUACUGAGACUUGAACCAGUCCGGGGUAAAAAUGGUUGAUAACGUUGCACCAGACUGGAACUUGCAUAGUAGUUUAAUGUUUAGUUCGUGGAAGAGUAAUUUGUUAUUGGUACAAUUGGUUUCUCUUUGCAUGCCUAUACUCCCAAGAGAUAAAUUCAGGUAUUGCCUGUUCGAUUUUAGUUGUUUUUAAAGUUAAUCAUCCACUGCUUCUUCUUUGAUUCAUGUUUGUUUCUCUCAACCAAAAACCAGAACCUUGCUUCUCCAACUGUCUCUCGCAGUAGAACAACAUCUACCACCAAGGAGGCUCUUCGAGCUUCAGUCCAGGGGUAAGCUUCUCUCUUUUGAUUGGAUUCAACCAUCGAUCUGGUUUUCUGGUGGAAGUCAUAAUUUUCAUCCCAAUUUUUGUCCGAAAAUCUUAAAUUUUCUCUCAGAAAUUUGAGAAAUGAAGAUUCUCUGUUUGUUUUUGUCUGUUUUGGAGACCCAAUCUGAAUUUUGUGUUCUGGUCAAUCUUGGAUAAUUCCCUUAGAUUAAGGGAAUUAAAUUGUCCCAAUUAUGGUUUUUUUUUUUUUGGUGUUGAAUUUGUUUGAAUGUUUUGUUUUAUUUUUGAGUUUUUGGAAUUUUAACUAAACUCACUUUAUAGAUCAUGCCAUGAUGAUAACAAAAAGGAUUAGUAUAUUUGUGUAUGCAAUGAGUUUUAGUGAAAAUUAUACCAUUCCAGAGUGGAUUUUUGGACUUUGGUUUUCGCACUAAAAGGAUUAAAAACUACCCUGUCCAAUUAAAUUAUGAGUUUAAUAAAGGUUAAAGUGAAAGUUUAAUUAAAAGAAAUUAUCCAUUAAAACCCCCCUAUUCUCCGCAAUUCGUUGUAGAAUUUACACAUCAAUGGCUUUCUUUAUCGUUUUUUCUUAAUGGGUUAUCGAUUCCUGUUUUCAGCUUUCCCAGCUCGAGUUCUUCUCUCUCAGAACCUAGCUCGAGUCCUCAGGUAAAUUCCAUCUUCCUUUCUUCCUUGGUUUUUUCUUUGCAGCACUUAGCAGUACUAUUCUCUUUAUGUUUGGGUGAAAUUAUGUAAAUUUUGAAUUGUUUAUCAAAUUUGAUUCUUAAUUGUGGAAAUGGGGUUGAAUUUAUUGUGGUAUUAAUUUUGCACCCAAAGAUUGAAGGGUUUGUUUUUAUGCUUUCAAGCUUGGUUAUUGAGAGGUUGUUGGUGUUGAAUUAGUGGCCAAGUGGCCAAAAGCAUAUAAUAAAAAAUGAAGGACAUAAUGAUGUGGGAACAUCAUUAUGAAGAGACAAAUGAUUAUGUUUGUUGAAAAGAAAAAGAAAGGUCAUGAUGAUGUUUGUAAAGGAAUGAUUAUUCCUUUACUUUGGAUUUUUUAUUGGGUGCUCUUGUAUGGAUGAAGGUUGCAGCCGAAUGAGAAAGAGAGGUAGAGUACACCAUUUCUGUUUUAGUAGCCCAUCUUUGAGAGAGCAAAGGUAGCUGCAGAGAGCAGAAAACUGAGAGCAGAAAAAGAAGAAGAAGGUGCUCUUCUCUUUGGUUAGUAAUCACCCACCAAGGUAGUUGUUGUUGUAAUAGUUUUGAGCUUUGUAUAGAGAAGAAAUUAAUCACUAUAUUUCUUUCUCUAUUUGUUUCUUUAGUGUGUGAGAGCUAUUGGUUGUAUUGGGGUUUUGGGUUGUGAGCUUGUCAACACUUUGUAAACUCCCAUUUGGUUGAUAGUGGAUUAUUGGGUGAGCUCCUACUGCUCCAAAGACGUACUCCAGUUAAACUGACUGUUGAGGAACCUCGUUAAAAUCUUGGUGUCUUUUAUAUUUUGUUCUUGCAUUCCAUUUGAUAUAUUUCAUGUGGGUUAGCUUGAGUUGGUUCCAACGGGUUUGGUAUUAUCCUAGCACAACAGUUGGUCAGGGAAUUUAUUUUAGUUCCUAUCCCCUUGGCUGUUUGCAAAGCAAAGCACAGAUGAUUCAUGUAUUAUUUAGUUUUUGUGUUGGGUUGCGCAUGCUUUCAAAAAUAUAUGAAUUUGUGCGUUUAUGGUUAUGAAAAUGAGGGCUGCAGACCCUCAUCCUUCACAUUUUAGUUUCUCUUUAUGCUUCUCCCUUUUGGGAUUUUGUGGAACCAAAUUUGUAAUUUUUGUGUAUUAUGAAAGUUGAAUAUGUGGGAAUCAAUCAGUUCUUCAUUUUUCGUGUAUAUGGAGAAUGCUGUUUUCUACACUUUUAUGGUUUGAUAAAAUAUAUCGUUUGACCAAAAAUAAAAAAAAUAAAAAAACUUAAAGGGUGAGAAUUUAUGGUACUUUCCUUGGUGAGGGGUUGGUAUCGAAUUUCUGGGUUUAAAGCGGAUCGAUUUUUUUAUUUAGGUUUAAUAUGGGGAAUAAAUGAAAGGCGAAUUUAGCCUUUUUCGAGUAUUUCAUCAGCAAGGAACAAAAUGCCUAUAAUAUCGGCGAUAUAUCGCCGAUAUUAUCGGUUUUUCGCCGGACCGAUAUUUUAAUAGGUAUCCAAGGGGUUUUCGUCAAAAUAUCAUGAUAUUAUCGCGAAAUUUCAGAACUGUGCAAGUCGGAGACGAACACCGGAGCUUUUACAGCUCCGGCCGACUGUAAAACAGCCCCCUAGACUCCGAUCUAGGUAUGAAAAUGAAAUAGAAGACGAGAGGAACGUUUUUAUAACGUCCGUUUGCCGUGAAACGGUCGGAGGUGUUCGGAAAGUUCGUCGACACCCACAGCCUCGCCGGAGAUGGGUGUGCCUAUUCCCGAGCCGAUUUCAUCCCAAAAACCUUGCAAAAACACGAGAUAGAACUUCAAUUUCACAUCUAAGCUUUGAUCUAGAAUAGAAAAAGAAAAACCCGAAGCUUACCUAACCGGAGAAAUUGAAGGAACUCGCCGGAGCAGGUGCGAUGGUGUGCGUGUGGGUCUCGGUGCAGAGAGAAAUGAGAGGUGUAUGUGGGUCUCGGUGCAGAGAGAAAGGAGAGGGAGGAGCAGAAGGGCGUGGUGUGUGUGUAGGUCUCGGUGCAGAGAGAAAGGAGAGAUGUAUGUGGGUCUCGGUGCAAAGAGAAAUGAGAGGGAAGAGCAAAAGGCCGUGGUGUGUGUGUGGGAGAAGGGAGAAGAGAGAUCGAGAGAUCUCUGUGUGUGUGUGUGGGAGUGGAGAAUGGAGAGAAUAGAGAAGGAUCGAGAGAGAGAGACAGAGGUCUCUGUGUGUAUGCGUGUGUGAUGUUUGUGUGCGUGCGUUGUGUGCGUGUGUGGUUGCGUGCGUUGUGUGUGUGUGUGGGGUUCCUCCUGUUAGGAAGACACAUGACUCACUCAGGAUUCUUGACAACUUUUACAAUUUUUUGACAAUUAGACCACUUUUGACAAUUCACAAUUGUACAAUUUCAGACCAUGGAUGGUGGUUUCAUUCAAAACCGUGUGUCAUUGUGAUAUUCUUUCAAGAGGUGGAGUAUCAUACUCAUUCAAAGCAUUUUCGUUUCUUCUUCUUCCCUUACCCCUUUCAAAGCUGCCAUUGUGAUAUUCUUUAAAGAGGUGGAGUAUCAGAGCCAUUCAGAGCAUUUUCAUUUCUUCUUCUUCCCUUACCCCUUUCAAAGCCAUUCCAAAUCCAUUCCAGAGCUUGAACACAAAGGGUUCCAUAUUUAAAGUAAGUUUACAAACUUAUAUUUAUAUUAUUGUAAUUUAUACAACAACAAAAAAAUUUGUGUAGACUCGUAUGUUAAUUUUUUUAAUUUACUUGCAUGUUAGUUUUUGUAAGUAAUUAAGUAAUGUUAACAAUUACAUGUUAAUUUUUUAAGUAAUUAAUUUGUAAGUAAUUAAGUAAUGUUAACAAUUACAUGUUAAUUUUUUUAAGUAAUUAAAUAAUGUUGUAUAAUUAUUCCCUAGGAUAAUUUUAAUAUGUUUAAUGUUAUUUAUUAUUUUAUUAAUAUUAGGUUUUAUUAUCAAAUUAGAUUAUUAUUCAUUAAUAUUAGGUUUUUUUUAUUAUCAAAUUGGAUUAUUCAUUAAAUUGGAUUAUUAUCAUCAAAUUAAUGUUUUAUCACUAUAUUAGGAUUAUUUUUUAUAAAUUGGAUUAUUAUUCAUUAAUAUUAGAUUUUAUUAUUCCAUAUUAUUUUUAUAAUUACUUAAAUUUUUACAAUCAUUUCUUUACUUCGUAUUUAAUUCUUCUGUAGAAUAACUUUAUUAUUUAGGUUCUCUUAUAUAACCGCCAUCACUACUAUAUUUUUUGGCCAAAAAAUAAUUGUCUAAUUUUCAUGAAAAAUAAAUAUAGGUACGUUUAAGAUGUCCAGUGGAGUUAUUAAACGUGAUUCAGCUUGGGAACAUGGAGACCCAAUAGACGGAAACAAACAUGGCACAAUUUGCAAAUAUUGGGGUCGGGUAAUGAAGAGUGGCCGAGUGACACGACUUAAGCACCAUCUUAGUGGAUUAGAUCCAGCAAAAAAUGUCCAACGAUGCGAUAAUGUCCCCCCAGAAGUGAAGACAUUCAUCAGCACAUUAUUAAAAAAAUAAAAAACAGCAGAAGGAAAAGAUAACACAUGGAAUGGAAAAUAUUCGAGCUGGGCUACGGGGAGAAGUCUAUGGCUAAGCGGUUGACAGUGAUGAUGAUGACGAUGAGGACGAAUGUGAUGAUGACAUGGGACCUGAAGAACGACGCAGUUUGAAACAAGCAUUACGUGCCUCCAAACAGUCAGCAUGGGAAAGAGAACACCUUCAUAAAAUUCCUAAUAGAGCACAAGGUUCCGGGACAAGUGGUGGUGCACAAAUGAGACGGGGAUGCAGUCUUAGAGAAUCACAACCAACACCACCAAUAGCCCCAAGUUUAUAUAAGUCAUCCAAAGCACGUCAAAAGAGUGUUUGGAGUUAUUUUACUGGAGGUAAUGUGAAGGAGGGAAUGGGGCGUCUAAUUAGCAAGUUCUUUAUCUAUGAAAAUGUCCUUGCUGAGAAAGCAUCAUCACAUCAUUUCAAAAAUAUGGUAGUGGGAUGUCAACAGGCCGGUGUUGGAGUACAACCUCCCACACCCUAUGAGAUAAGAAACAAAUAUUUGGAUAUGGAGUAUACAGACAUUGGCGAGUAUGUUAACAAGUUGAGGUCAAAGUGGGAAACUAAUGGUUGCACAAUCAUGUGUGAAGGAUGGACCAGCCCGACCAGAUUGUCUAUCAUAAACUUCAUGGUAUACUCCAAGGGAAAGACAAUUUUUUUGAAGUCUGUUGAUGCUUCAGACCAUAUAAAGAACUACAAGUAUAUACAAAUUAUUGAGGGAUGUAAUCAUAGAGGUGGGAGAGCAUAAUGUUGUCUAAGUCGUGACCGACAACGGUUCUGCAUUUGUCAAAGCUGGAAAAAAGUUAAUGAAGCAUCAUAAUGUGUUUUGGACAUCAUGUGCAGCACAUUGUAUUGAUCUCAUGUUUGAGGCAAUGGGGAAGAGAGAGAAUGUUGCUACUGUGGUAAAAAGAGCUAGAACGAUCACAAAUUAUAUUUAUAAUCACAGUUGUUUGUUGGCAAAGAUGCGUGAAUUUUGCAAAGGAGAAAUUAUUCGUCUAGCUACCACUCGAUUCGCCACCAACUAUAUUGCAUUAGACAGCAUACUUAAGAAGAAAGCAGGGUUGAAGCAACUAUUCACUAGUGACAAUUGGCCCAACCACAAUUUAAGCCGCUCAAAUGCAGGUCGUAUGGUGGAAAGUAUAGUGCUUGAUCAUGCUUUUUGGACUCAAUCAGAACAUGUGUGCCAAAUGUUUGAACCUCUUUACAAAGUUUUACGGAUCGUUGACACAGAAGUGUAUCCUACUAUUAGCAAUUGCACCAAAUUAGAAGUUUUAUCUGUCGGCCUCAAUAAUUUUGGAGGAGUGCUGCCUGAAUCUAUCAGCAAUCUCUCAACAAAGCUCAGGAAAAUAAAUUUUCAUGACAAUCAAAUACGCGGAAACAUUCCCAACGGGGUUGGAAAUCUCAUCAACUUGGAGAGACUGGGCUUUUCAACAAAUUUAUUGGCAGGCACUAUACCGAAUUCAAUAGGUAAAUUGAAUAAGCUUUAUUAAAUAUAUCUACAUUUAAAUGAAUUGUCAGGUAAUGCUCCAUCAUCUCUAGGAAAUCUCACUUCAUUAAGCAAUUUGUAUCUCCAAUCAAACCAGUUAAAUGGAAGCAUACCACAAAGUCUCGGAGACUGCAGGUUUAUGAUAUAUUUGGAUCUUUCCCAUAACAAUCUUAGCGGUCCAAUUCCAAAACAAGUAAUCAAUUUACCUAUUUACUUGAAUUUAUCUGGAAACCAACUUACUGAAUCUAUUCCCAUGGAAGUAGGCAACUUACAGCUUCUUGCUUUCUUGGAUGUUUCUGAAAACAAGCUAUCUGGUGAGAUUCCACAAAGCUUAGGGAGUUGCACAAGUUUGACGACUCUGUCCCUGAGAGAAAAUUUAUUGCAGGGGACAAUUCCUAAAUCCUUGAGCUCUUUGAGAGGAAUUGAAGAUUUUGACCUCUCUCGCAACAACUUGUCUGGCAUAAUUCCUAACUACUUGGGGAGUUUCCCCUUCUUGCAGAAUUUGAACCUUUCAUUUAACGAUUUUGAAGGUGCAGUACCAAUCCAAGGAGUUUUUAAGAAUGCAAGUGUGGUAUCUGUUGUGGGAAACACACGGCUUUGUGGAGGUAUACCUCACUUAAGAUUGCCUAAAUGCAUCUCCAAGCAAUCUAAGCGUGGGUUAUCUCCUAAGCUGAACUUAAUUAUCUCAGUUUCUUGUGGGGUUGUCGGCGUGGUCUUGGUGUUGUUAGUUGCCCUUCUUUAUCGAUCAAGAAAGGCUAGAGAGCUUAAGUCAACUUCAGGAUCAUCACUGGGGGUUUCACUCUUGAAACUGUCCUAUGGAGAUCUCCUCAAAGCAACUGAUGGGUUCUCUGCUUCGAAUCUGAUUGGUUUUGGAAGUUUCGGGUCCGUGUACAAGGGAGUUCUCAAUCAGCAUGAAGAAAGAAAUGUUGCGAUGAAAGUACUCAAUCUUCAAACUUCAAGAGCUUCUAAAAGUUUCAUAUCUGAAUGUGAAGCCUUGAAAAGCAUUAGGCAUCGAAAUCUUGUCAAGCUGCUGACUGCUUGUUCAAGCAUUGAUUUUCAAGGAAACGAUUUCAAAGCCCUGGUGUAUGAGUUCAUGGUGAAUGGAAGCCUAGAUGAGUCAUUGCACAUAUCAGCUCAAGGAGUAGAUAGGCCAGCCAAUCUGCCAAAGAAUCUGAAUCUCACUCAAAGAGUUAACAUUGCCAUCGAUGUAGCAUGCGCUCUGGAUUAUUUGCAUAACCACUCCCACAUGCCAAUAGUUCAUUGUGAUAUAAAGCCCAACAACAUUUUGUUAGACAGUGACAUGACUGCUUGUGUUGGUGAUUUUGGUUUAGCAAGGUACCUCCGGGAUGCUUCUUGCCCAUCUCCUUUGCACGAUAGCAGUUCCAAUGUCAUAAAAGGCACCAUAGGCUAUACUCCCCCAGGUAAAUUUUCUUUUGUAUAUAUUUUAUUUGUGCUUCCAGUAUGGUUUUGUAUAUAGCAGCAUGAGUUUUUUUGAAGUCACAUAUAAGAACAAAGCUAUGUUUUUGUGUGCAUAUAACUUAAAGAUAUGGAAUGGGAGGCGAGCUGUCAACAUAUGGCGAUGUGUAUAGCUACGGAAUACUGUUGUUGGAGAUGUUAACUGGCAAGAUGCCGACAGAUGACAUGUUUUAAAGGUGGUAUGGACCUGCACAAUUUUGUUAUAACGGCUCUACCAGACCACGAACAUGUGGAAGAAAUAUAUUAAUCAAAAGCCAGAAGUAACAAGGGGAAUCAUAGCCCAAAUGAUCAAAGAAAAAGGGUUGUGGGGUGCUUGACUUCCAUUGCAAGAGUGGGAGUGGCUUGUUCUGUAGCGAUGCCGAGGGAGCGAAAAGACAUGAGCAAUGUGGUCGCUGAAUUGAGUCUAAUAAGGGACAUGCUAAUUGGAAUCAGAUGCCAAGUGAGCUUCUCUGAUCAAGGCCCAUGUAGUGAGAAAUAAUAGCCUGUCAUCAUUAUUUCAACUGCCAUGAAACUUGGACAGUAGUUUGCGUGGAGUGGUCUGUCGGUUUUUAUAUUUUUGCAGUUGCUUUUAUUGUAUGAUUUGUGAAUGAUCUUUGUGUAAGAUCAUCUUUGCGCUUGCUUGGAUGUCUAUUUAAGUUUAGUGUUCUGUCUGUUUAAUAUUUUGCGUUACUAAGUUUGUGUUUGUCCAGUCUUCAAAUUUGUCAAUCUUUCUUACUUUGUUGUUUACAUUGAUUGUUUACACACUUGUUAUUGUAGUAUAUACCAGCAAUUGAACCUGCGCGAUGCCGUAGGUUUUUAAUUGUGUUAUGUUGUAGAAAAAAUCCAUUUACAUCCAUAUCAAACUCUAUUUACAUCCUUAUGUUCAUUAAGGAAUAAAAGAUAGGUGUUUACAGAACACAUUACAUAGCUAAAAAAGUUGGAGACUAAGCUGUUCAUAUAGAUAUAAGGGUAAAAGACUGUUUACCACCCUCAUGUUUCGUGGUUUUCAACAUUUAGUACAUCAAGUUUUUUUCGUCCCAGAAUCAUACCUAAAGUGUAAAUUUUGGGACAGUCUCAUACAUCUGUUAGUCAAACGGUUAGUUCUCCCGUUAAGUGAUGACGUGGCGCUCUGAUUGUACGCCACGUGUCAUUAAAAAAAUAAAAAAAUUAUUUAAAUAAAAAUAAUUUUAAAAAAUAUUUAAAUAAAUAUUAAAAUAAUAAAAUAUUAAAAUAAUAAUAAAAUAAUUUUUUUUUCUUCUUCUCUUCUUCUUCUUCUUCUUCUUCUUCUUCUUCUUCUUCUUCUUCUUCUUCUUCUGGGUUCGGUUUCUUUUUUUUUUUUUUUUCUUUUUUUUUUUUUUUUCCUCCUCCUCCUCCUCCUCCUUCUUCUUCCUUCUUCUUCUCCUUCUUCUUCUUCUUCUGGGUUCGGUUUCUCUCUUUUUUUUUUUUUUUUUUUUCUUCUUCUUCUUCCUUCUUCCUUCUUCUUCUUCUUCUUCUUCUUCUUCUUCUUUCUUUUUUUUCUUUCCUUCCUCCUUCUUCCUUCUCCUUCUCCUUCCUCUUCUUUCUCUUCUCCUUCUUCCUUCUUCCUUCCUUCCUUCAUUCUUCUUCUCCUUCUUCUUCCUUCUUCUUCCUCUUCUUUUCUGGGUUCGGUUUUUUUUUUUUUUUUUUUUUUUUUCUGUUUUUUUCCUUCUCCUCCUUCCUUCUUAAGAAGGAGAAGAAGAAUGAGGAGGAAGGAGAAGGAAGAAGAAGAAGGAGGAGGAAGGAGAAGGAAGAAGAAGGAGAAGGAGGAGGAAGAAGAAAAAAAGAAAAGAAAAGAGAGAACCGAACCCAGAAGAAGAAGAAGAAGAAGAAAAAAAAAAAAAAAAAGAAGAAGAAGAAGAAGAGAAGGAAAUUUUUUUUUAUUAUUUAAAUAUUUAUUUAAAUAUUUUUUAAUAUUUUUUUAUUUAAAUAAAUUUUUUAUUUUUUUAAUAACACGUGGCGUCCAAUCAGGGCGCCACGUCAUCACUUAACGGGAGAACUAACCGUUUGACUAACAGAUGUAUGAGACUGUCCCAAAAUUUACACUUUAGGUAUGACUCUGAGACGAAAAAAACUUGAUGUACUAAAUGUUGAAAACCACGAAACAUGAGGGUGGUAAACAGUCUUUUACCCUAGAUAUAAUACACACCAAAAUAUUUUUGCUUUUCAUGUCCCAACUUUCAGAUUGUUCCUCAGGACUUCACUCUUCUUUCUUCAUCGUUGCCAAAAAGAUGUUCUUCUGGCCGAGUCCGUUAAAAUAUCGUGUGAAUGUAAUUGAAACCUGAGACAACAGAUAGAUAGCUAGGAAGAAAGAAAAACACAUGCAUGAAGAAAACUUUUAAUUUUAGACAUACACCAACCUACAUUCUUACACAAUUCUUCCCGUUUUCCCAAAUCUUUCCAGACAUCAAUGAAAACAAAACUGUUCGUAGCAAUGAAAACGUAAUUUCUACUAAUUGCAUCCAUACAAAAGCUGACAACCCAAUGAGGCAGCAUUAAGUUACAAUGCUUGAUCUUCUAAUGGAACAUUGUUAAAAAUUCAAGCACUUGAGCAUCUUUUGAGUUUAAUUACUACUACUUAAACAUGCAAAAAUUGGCUAGACUUUUUUUAAUUAACACAUCCGUAAGAUAGCUAAUUCUAAUUAGUCUCAUGACGAGCAAAUAGGUGAAUUUGGAUUGGCAGUUCUUGAAAGAAUUUAAGCUAGGGUUGGAAACAUAAAUGGUAUAAGCUCAACUCAAUUAAUUAUGAGUGAGGUAUGGACUUCAUUAUAUAGAGAUUACAAGAUGAGGUUGGUUACAAUAUAAACUUAUCAUCUGUUUACAUUUGAAUUCAAAACUAAGUUAUACAGGAAUUGGAGAUAAUGACGAAUUGUGAUCCCUUGCUAUCUGUUGAAGAGGUUGAAGAGUAUUCAACUUGUGUAGCUGACUUGGACGUGGAGAGUCCUUUUCCAUGCAUUGCUGACGUGGAGAAAGAUACUGAAUAUUUGGUUUAUCACGCCCCCGCAAGCUGAGUGGGCGGGGACGAACAGGAAGCUUGGAAAUGAGAUAACUGAACCGAGCGGGGGACAAGCCUUUUGUUAAGAGAUCGGCAAGUUGGUCAGCGGAUGAAACAUAACCCACAACAAGUUCAUUGCGCGUGACUUUUUCUCGAACAUAAUGAUAAUCAACUUCCACAUGAUGCAUACAAGCCUGAUAAACUGGAUUGGAAGCUACGGCUAGGGCACUGAUAUUAUCACACCAUAAUUUGGGGGGAUUGAGAGGGAGACGAAGAUCACGGAACAUUUGUCUGAACCAAGAUAAAGUGGCAGAGGUAUAGGCCAUUUGUCGAUACUCAGCCUCUGUACUGGAGCGAGACACACCACGUUGCUUUUUAGAACUCCAAGAGAUUAAGUUAUCCCCGAGAAAUAUGCAAUGACCACCAGUGGAGCGACGAUCAUCGGGGUCACCAGCAUAGUCGGCAUUGGCAAAGGCUGUUAAGGACAAAGAACUGGGUUGAUAAACAAUACCGCGAUCAUGAGUAGCUUUCAAAUAGCGAAGAAUGCGCUUGACGGCAGCCCAAUGUGUAGUAGUGGGGGAAUGCAUAUACUGACAGACUUGAUUCACAGCGAAAGCAAUGUCAGGCCGUGUGAAUAAGAGAUAUUGGAGAGCCCCAACAACGCUUCGAAAAGUGGUUCCAUCAUCCAAUGGCUCACCCUCAUACAAACUAAGCUUGCGGCCAGGAAGGGCUGGAGUAGACAAGGGUUUGGCGUCAGUCAUCUUAGUGCGUUGGAGAAGGUCCAGGAUAUAUUUUGACUGUGUUAAAUACAUGGCCGUCUGUGUUCGCGUGAUUUCCAUUCCCAAGAAAUAAUGUAAGGGACCAAGGUCCUUCAUGGAAAAUUUCUGACCCAAUUGGUGAAUCAAGGUGGAGAUGCUGGAAGGAUCAUUACCUGUGACAAGAAUGUCAUCAACGUAGAUGAGUAAGUAAAUGACAGUGGUUCCAUUGAAGAAGAUGAACAGCGAAGAAUCGGCCAUGGAGGCUUGAAAGCCGAGUUCCUCCAAAUGGUGAGAGAAGCACUGAAACCAGGCACGGGGAGCCUGUUUUAAGCCGUAUAAGGACCGGCGAAGACGACAUACAUGGGAUGGAAACUGUGGAUCAACAAAGCCAGAAGGUUGGCGCAUGUAAACUUCUUCAGUUAAAGAGCCGUGGAGAAACGCGUUUUUGAGAAUAAGCCGGAUGGUAGCAUGAGUGACGACAGGGCUAAACGUCUCACUGUAGUCAAGCCCUUCUUGUUGAUGAAAACCAUUGGCAACAAGACGUGCUUUAAAUCUUUCAAUGGAACCGUCAGAUUUCCGUUUAACACGGUAGACCCAUUUAUUUGGGAGAACAUUCAUGGAGGGAUGAAAAGGAACCAGGGACCACGUGCCUGUGCUUUGCAGAGCAUUGAACUCGUCGGCCAUUGCCAUACGCCAUUCAGGGGAUUUAUUUGCCUGUGUAAAACAAGUAGGCUCAACUAUGUCAAUAGUCACAGCAGAAACAAUAGCAUAUUUGGGAUUCGGUUUUUGGAUGCCAUCCUUUGAACGUGUAACCAUGGAGUGAACAGGUGAAAGCUGUCUCUGAGAGGAAGAUGAGACAGGAGUAACACUUACUUCAUUCGUAGAGGAGAGGAUGGGGGAAGGGUCAGAGAGAGAGGGUAUAGGGGAGAUGGGUUGGUGCGGAUUUGGUGGGAAAGUAGGGGGAAUAGGGUUAGGUGGUGUGGAUGGAAUAGGGGGAGGCAUGGGAUGGUGUGGAUGGUGUGGUAACGUACAGGGAAUAGGGUUAGGGUUUGGUGGGGUGGAUGAUGUGGUGGGAUAGAUGGACGGAUGGGGGUUUGGGGUUACAGUAGGGGUAAUAGGGUUCCUAGAGGGAUAUUGUAAAGGAGAGGGAUCAAUGUUCAAUACCGUAGAUAAUUGGGAGGAUGAAGGUGUUGUAGAAAUGGAUUCUUUGUAUGGGAAAGUGGUUUCAUCAAAUAAGACAUGACGUGACAAAAAUAUGCAACCAGUGGACGUAUCUAAACACCUAUAACCUUGUUGAUUUAAUGAAUAACCUAAGAAAAUGCAACGUUUGGAGCGAAAUUGCAACUUGUUAGUAUUAUAAGGACGAAGAAACGGAAAACAUGCACACCUAAAAACUUUAAGAAAAUCAUAUUGAGGAGAUUUUUUAAACAGUUUUUGGAAUGGAGACUCAUCAUGGAGAACUUUAGUUGGUAAACGAUUGAUCAAAUAAUUUGCGGUAUGAAAAGCAUCAUCCCAAAAUGAAAUUGGUAAGGAUGAAUGAGCAAGAAGAGUGAGACCAGUUUCAACUAUAUGACGAUGUUUACGUUCUGAAAUGCCGUUUUGUUCAGGAUGAUGUGGACAUGUAAAGCGAUGUAGAACACCAUGUUGAGUCAAAAUUUUUUUAAAAAGGUUGUUUACGUACUCUCCUCCUCCAUCAGUUUGAAAAGAUUUAAUUUGAGUAUUAAACAUGUUUUCAACCAGUUUCUUAAACGACACAAAGGUAGGAAAAACAUCAGAUUUUAGUUUUAAGGGAUAUAACCAAGAGUAGCGAGAAAAAUCAUCAAUAAAUACGACAUAAUAUUUAAAACCAUUGAUAGACAAUGAAGGUGAAGUCCAUACAUCGGAAUGAACCAAUUCUAAAGGAGACGAAGACCGAGAGACAGACAAUUGAAAAGGUAACUUGUGACUCUUACCCAUGGGACAUGAGUGACAGAACUCACUAGUUACAACGCCCUUAAUGGGCAAUUUAUUCCUAGAAACUAAACUUUGCAAAAUAUGAGAAGAUGGAUGACCUAACCUAGAGUGCCAAAUGGAAUUGGACACCCUAGUUCCUAAAAAUGCAGACACGCCUUUAUUUGAAGAUGAAACACCAGAAAAAGGGUAGAAUCCAUUCCUACUCGGGCCUUGUAAAAGCAUCCUCCCCGUGUGGAGUUCCUGAACACAGUAUGAGUUGGGGUAUAAGGUUAGAGAGCAGUUAUUAUCAUUAGUAAAACGAUGGAUGGAAAUAAUAUUAGUUGAUGCAUUUGGGCAGAGCAGUGUAUUAGGUAAACGAAAAGUGGAGGUAGGUGUACGAAUGGAAGUGUUGCCUAUGUGUGAAAUUGUCAAACCUGUGCCACCAACAACUCCAUUGACUUGGUCUAUGCCAUUAUAAGGACGAGGAUGUGAAACACUAGCAGGAUUAUUCGUGAUGUGAGCAUUGGCCCCGGAGUCAAAUAACCACUCUUGUAUGGCAGGUGCAGUUGCAGAAGCAGGAGGUGCACUCGCAGCAAAAGCCUGCAGUCGUGGUGCAGGGAUGCGUCCCUCAUAAGACAUGUUUAGGCGGUUGAAACAGUCAAUCGCAGAAUGACCAUGACGACUACAGAUUUGACAUUGAAUCCGUCCGGUAGGAAAAUUACUUUGAAAGGGAGCAGUGCCAAGAACCCCAUCAUUUUGGCGAGAGUUAGACCCUUGGUGAGAGUGGGACCCUUGGUGAGAGUGAGGGGAGUUGCAGUGGCGGUUGGAAGAACCUCGACCAUUACUAAAAUUACUACGACCACGGAACCCAGGAGAGGGCCCUCGUCCCCGAAAAGAGGCAGGUGUACGGCUACCAUUGCGAACGGCGGCAAGAGCAGUGAGUCCGUUGUCAGUACCAAAUGCAGAAUGCAUUUUUUGUCGUCUUUCAGCGCCAAGGAGUAGGGCUUCCAAAGCACUAUAGGUAAUGGCCUCAUCACGAGCUUGGGCUGAAGCAACUGUGCUUUCAUAGGCAGGGCCGACGUUGUUGAGAAUAAUGGCAACGAUGUCGGAGUCUGAAACAGGAGCACCAGAGAGAGAGAGGGUAUCUGCUAGACAAUUAAUUUUAUCCAAAAAAUCAGAAAUGGAAGAAUCACCUCUGUGAGUAUUCAUCAACUCACUACGAAGCUGGAAAAGACGACCGGUUGACUGAGAAGCAUAUCGAUCACGGAGUGUGGUCCAGGCAGAAUGGGAGCUAGUUUUCCCAAUUAAAGCAGCAAGCACGGUAGGGUGGACGGAGGAGUUGAUCCAGGACAUAACAGUGGCAUCCUGUUGGAUCCAAGUUUCGAAAUCAGGGUUGACUUUGUCAGUGAGGAUACCAUCCUUAUCUGUCAGGAAUGCUGGAGGACACGGACUAGUGCCAUCAACAAAGGAAACAAGAUUGCGGCUGCGGAGAAGAGGUAACAUUUGGGCCUGCCAGAGAGGGUAGUUGGUACGAUCAAGUUUGAUCGUGAGAAAAUUGGAGACAUUAGGGAGGGGAAUGGGAGAGGAAGAUUGAGAAGCCAUGGGAGAAGGAGAAAAAAAUUAUUGUCGUUAGACUUUAGCUCUGUGAUACCAUGAAAGAAUUUAAGCUAGGGUUGGAAACAUAAAUGGUAUAAGCUCAACUCAAUUAAUUAUGAGUGAGGUAUGGACUUCAUUAUAUAGAGAUUACAAGAUGAGGUUGGUUACAAUAUAAACUUAUCAUCUGUUUACAUUUGAAUUCAAAACUAAGUUAUACAGGAGUUGGAGAUAAUGACGAAUUGUGAUCCCUUGCUAUCUGUUGAAGAGGUUGAAGAGUAUUCAACUUGUGUAGCUGACUUGGACGUGGAGAGUCCUUUUCCAUGCAUUGCUGACGUGGAGAAAGAUACUGAAUAUUUGGUUUAUCAGUUCUAAUAUUCACAUCUAAUAUUGACGUAUAAGAAAACAAAUGGGGGACAUAUAAGCAAAGCUGAGACAGAGAGUUUACAUAUAUAAUCCCUAUUUCCUCUUUUUUCAUCUGCUCUCAGAUACAAUGUGAGUGACUAAAUGAGUGCAUUUAAAUUAGAAAGAGAUGACAUAGGCAUAACUGGGCAAAGAAAAGGAGGAAGAUAAGAUGAAACAAAGAAAAGGCCUUUAAAAAAAAUUUGACAGAGGCGUUUUCAGCAAGUAAAAAAACAGAGGCAUUUCCAAACAGAAGAUUAAGUGUUAGACUUGAGUCACAGACUCACAUGAGUACUGAAGGGGGAGGAGAAAAGGCUAACGUCCACCCGCGGCGAAUUAGGGAUGCAUGCGCACGGUUCAAUGCCAAUGCAUACGAUGGUAUAGUUUGACCAUUCAUUCAAGUUCCCUAAACAAGCAAACUAGGAUGAAAAUAAAUGAUUUCAUGCAAUAGACGUGCAAUUCUCGUCAAUAUUUAUGUUUUCAUGUCAAGGCAGCAUAUGAGAACUGAUAGCAUUCAACAUUGCUCACUCCUUAUCUAAUGAAAAAUCGUUUUGCUCCUAACAUUCAAUUCCUCCGAUGACUGGUUUAUGAGUUUCAGCCAAUUCCUCUCUUACCCUCUCCGACCCAAAAAAGGUAGGAAAGGCCUGAAAUUGCCCGGAAAAAUAAACACCGCAAGCUGGGCUUUUGGAACUCUUCGGUCGAGGGUAGAUUCGAGCACGCAAAGCUCGAAUGUUGUUGUUAUUAGCACUCUCUUGAGUCGAAUUGUUGUGGUUGCAGUGGCAGCCGUCAGAAAACGUCGAUUUUUGGGUUUCUCGUUCGAACGGUAAGUAGGCGUCAGUGAGGAGCGAGAGGGGGAAGAGAGAAGAAGAGAAGAAGAGAAGAGAAUAAAAAAUAAAACGUAUAUAUAUUUUCUCAGAAUGUGGCAGAGAAGUAAUAAAUCAAAUUUAACAGGGGCAAAACGAGAAGCAAACUGUGGUUGUGAACAGUGAAUCAGCUGGUUUUGAGUUUUAGUAUAUAUCAAAUUAAAUUUGGUUGUGACUUCUUGAUUCUUAUUAUCGUUAGAAUUUAUAUUAUUUUCAUAUUUUUUAAAUUGCUCCAACAUUUUCUUCUAUAAAGUAUUCAGUUGUUUCUUUCAAAUUAUCUAAUGUUAACAAUAAUCAGUUGUGUCUUUUAGCUAAUGCAAUCAUUAUUAUACAUAAAUUCUGACUUGCAGGUUGCAACCAAUCCAAUACAUAGUUUAGUGGUGCCACCCGUUAAAAAGUAUUCCAAUCAUUCCACAAAUGUACGUCAUGUAACGUCAUCCAGUCCCAUGAAAGUGUCACUUGAAAUCAAGGACACUGAAAAUCAUUCGUGUUCUUUUUGAGUCUUUGCGUCAACUUAAUUACCAAACGCACUAAAUAUCAAAAGCUAUAAUAAUUGCAUGCGUAUAUAUGCAUGGUUAGGGAAUCUUGUUGUUGGAGAUGCUUACUGGAAAAUGGCCUACAGAUAAAAUGUUCAAAGAACCUGCACAAGUUCGUUCGGAUAGCUUUGCCUGAGCUUGUUGAAGAAAUAUGUGAUCCCGUGCUUCUUCAAGUAAACGAAAGCAGCACACAUAGUAGUUAACAGCAACAGAACAUGUCAUCUAUUUCCUCUCCGUGUCAACUGUGAACGGUAAGAAUAGUUUCAAAGAAAGCAGAGCUGAGAUUUGAAGUUCUUAUUCUUGGAAGUUUAAUACAUCAUUUAUUUUUAGUGAAGUUUGUUAUAAUUGAACCUGCAAGGCUCCGAUUUGCUUAAUCACUGUUAAAGGUUUUAAUCUUGGGAUUAUUAGGCUUAUUCCUGUUUUAGUGAAGUUUGUUAUAAAUGACCAGCUGACAUGAUGAGUUGUAACUUGUAUAAGAGCACUAGCUCUCAGUAUUGUAAUCAGAAGAGUUUUUACAGAAAAAAUUACAAACACAAAAAUAUAUUGGAGCUCUGCUCCCUUCUACUUCAUCUUCUCCAUUUGCCAUUUCUAUUGCAGCUUGCAGGUUGAGAUAGCGUCCUGAGAUUUGUGAUCCUAAUCCUAUCAUCUCGCUGCCAUGGACGCGCGAGUUUCAGCCGCGUUCGACUCCUUUGAAGCUUCAGUGCGUGCUGCAUUCCGUGAAGCUCUGGUACCCGUCUGCCAUGAACUUUCUCUGUUACGCCGUGAUUUGGCUGUCGCAGUUGGGGGAGUUUCUGAUCCAGCCCCGAUGAUUUCCGACGACGCUGAAUCAAUCGAUCUCGGUCAUCCCGGACUUCAAGGAGACAACAAUCCACCGAGAAAUCCAUCGCCAAUGGAAACAAGAAAAUCUAAGAACGGAAUAUACCCAUCAGAAAAUGUUCAACCAAACAAGAAAAACUCCACAAUGUUGUAAUGGAAAUACUUGUUUUCUACGAACUACGCCUCACAAAGAACGCCAGGCAAAUUACGAAACAGCAACUACAGCCUCGGGGGUAGCCGCCACAACUGCAGCCUUGGGGGGAGCAGAAGUACUCGGUUUUGCAUCCUUGGUGGGAGCUGGGUCUGGCGGUGAAGGCUUAAGGUGGGGAGGUGUAUUAUGCUUCAAUUUUAAAAGUAUCUGCCUCAUCCUUGAAAGCUCGGUUGGCUUUCCAGGCUUUGGACCUUGGACAACGAGAAUGGAUGGCUUCUUUUCCGUAUCCUUCUUCCCUAUCUUCUUCUCGAUUGCUGGCACCUCAUUGGGGAUGAGGUCCGCAAUUGCCUUCCAGUAGUUCUUGUCUACCUCAGCAAUGAAACUUCUCUUGAUUAGCUAGGAACAGCUGAGAAACGCCAAAAUACAAGUUCAAAACAAUGUCAGAAAUGCAUGUUAACUCCUCGCUUCUUCAUACCUUAGAAGUUAGAUGCCAGAGAAAUCGAUAUGGAUAUUAAAGGCAAAGAAACCGCAAAGUUGUGACAAAGUUCAAUUCCAAAAUGUUUAGCUAAAAGGACUAGAGUUCAGAAAACCAUUAACACAACCAAUACUAGUAGCAUUUGUUUUACGAUGAAGCCUAACAGGGAAACAUUGUAAAUUUACAUAGCGAAUCCUAAACAGUUGUGACCAUCACUUUAGUUGAAUUCAGAAAAGUUCAGUCCCAGCAGAGAGAAUAAAAGUUACGAUCUUGUAAAAAGUUAUGAAUAACCAAGCUGAGCGGAUGUCGGGAGCUACGUGUCAACAAUUUGUGGCUCUUCUCCAUCGCCUAUUUCGAUCAAGUAUUCAAUUAUUGAAUGAAUCAGCAAUUCAAAAACGAAAGUUAAAUGAAAUAAACAAACUAUAAGCAUCAGUCGAAAGAAUCUUCAUAUGCAUUCCAACCAAAAACUUAAAAUCGAGGCAGUAAAGUAAGAAAUCGACAUUACUAGAAGAGCUCAUUGAAACAAAAUAUUGUGCCAUGCCGAUCAUAAUUUUUUGGAAAGCUAAUUUGGUCUAACCUUCUCCCUUUCCCUGUUAGCAGCCUUGUUAUUUUCAGUAGUGAUCUUCCUCUUCUGGUAGAAUCCCACCUUGAAUUCAUCUGCUUCCUCAAUUAUUUGAACCAACAACUCCUUUUCUCUCUUCUCCUUCUCCUCGGGAUGAAUCGCAUUCUGCCUGAAUGUCACAAAAGCUUGGAUUAUUAUAACUCCCUUACAACCUCACAGAAUUCAACCAUUUAUUUCUCCCACCACCUUCAAUGCAAACAUAAAAUCACUUUCUGAUAGUCAAUAACUACAAUUUGACAACAAUCACGAAUUUUUUUUGGAUUCGAAUUCAGCUCCGCAAUCUUAUACGAACAAUCGGCACGUUAAAUUCAUAAACAUUUUAACAAGUUUUGUAUUUUUUUAGAUAAACAAUCAAUUUAACAAUUUGUUAUCAGAAAGACGAUUACUGAUCACUAAGCAUGCAAUUCUUGAAAACUACCGAAAUCAAAACAACAACUUCCACUCAAUUUCUCAGCAACAGAAAGAUCAAACCAAAUCAAAACCAACAACUUUCAACUAAAUUGCACAAUAUAGUUCCCUAAGCAAGCUUGCUUAUUUUUCAACUCUUUAACUGAUGUGUGACUUCUAACUGUAAUUUUUCGUAUUUCUUCUUUUAUGUUCUGAUUAUUGAAUUUGAAAUCACUUAAUGAACUGAAAUUGCCAAACCAUGUUAGAGUGUAAUUUUGCGCGUUCCAUUUGAGUUUACAAACAACAUUUACAUUCAUAUGUAUCUUUUGUUCAGUGCCUAUCACCUGUUUGACAAAAUAUACCAGAGAAACACGCACGCUCGCACACACGGUUUUCUCGGUUCUUUGUUCUCUGUUUUUAGAUGUUUCUGGAUUGAGAAUUUCAUGGGUGAAAUGCCUCUGCGCAUUGGGUCUAAAUUGCAGGUGAGAAAACACAGAGAGCCAGCAAAGCUUCGUAGAGAGGAGGCAUGAGUUUCCUAUGAUGGUAAGUCUAUUCCUUCAUUUGGGUAAAGCAUCUUCAUUGUGGUGCAUUUGGCAAAACUCGAGACCCUUUUAUGCAUUUUUUGUUUUGAUUGGUUUGUUGGAUGUCAGCAUGCGGGACGCUUGAGUUUGAGUACCUUUGUCUGUUUCGAUAUGAUUUUCACUUGAACAGUGCAAUUGGAGAUCCUACUUUAGACUAAAGUAAUGUCCUCAAAUAGCACUAUUCCAGUAACAAAUCAACAAUAUCAAUUGGGGUGUGCUAUCCACACACCCCAUUUUACUUCUCACACACCCCUUGAUAAUUUAUGUCCAUUGAUCUUCUUCAAUUCAUCCGAUCCGACGGCCGAAAAUUAAAAAGGUGUGUGAGAAGUAAAAUGGGGUGUGUGGAUAUCACACCCCUAUCAAUUACGGAAGUGAUUUUCACUCUCUUAUUAGCUUCUCACACAUUCUUUAUUAUUAUAACAAAAAAAUUAAAUAAAUUAAACGUAAACAAGGGACAUAAUUAAAUAGGAUUGUGCGUGAGACUAAGGGUCAAUUUGGGAUUGUUGUGCUUUUAAAAAAAAACUGAUUUUGUUGUGUUUUAAGAAUAAUCAGUUGUAAAUUAAAGCAGAUGAACGUUUAGUUAACUGUGUUUUAAAAGUGCUAUGAGUAAGAAAAGCAAUGUAAAAGCAUUGGUAAAUUUUAAUGUAACAGUAAUGUAAUUGUAUACAAUGACAAAAUAGAUAUAGUAGCAGGAGUGGGGAGACAACAGCUGUGGCGAGGACAAUGGUGGUAAUAAUGGUAGUGGUGGUGGUGGUUGCAAUGGUGGUGAUGGUAGCAGGAAUGGAGGUGGUGUUAAUAGCAGGAUGUGGUGGUUGGGGUGUAGAGGUAAUAAUGGUGCUAAUGGCGAUGCUAACAUCGAUGGUGGCAGUUGUGGUUGUGGUGGCAGUGGCGGCGGUUGUGGUUAUAGUGGAGGUAUGGUGGUGGUGCUAAAAGUGGGAUAUGGUGGUUGGGGUGUAAAGGUAACAAUGGUGCUAGGGACGGUGGUAGUGCUAGUGGUGGGAGUGGUGGCGGUUGCAGCUGUGGUGGUGAUGGCAACGACGACAUUAAUGAUGGUAAUGACAAUGGCGGUAGUGGUGGUUAUGGUUAUGGUUAUGGUGGUGGUAAUGAUGUUGAUAGUGUAAGGUUAGUGUUUGUAAUGGUAGGUCAUAACAGUCACUUUAUUCUCUAAGGGAUAAAAUAUGUGUGGAAUGCAAAUAAUGUCAUUCUAAAAAUAUUAAUUAAUGAAGAUAUUACAACCUACAAGCUACUUUUAAAAUUUGUUGUCUAGAAGCUAUUACUUUUAAAAUAAGCAGCAUAUUUUACUUUUACCAAACAUUUUUUUUACUGCUUAGCUUUAAAGUGAAGCAGUUUUUGGUGAAAAAAAAAGCUAUACCAAACGGGGCAUAAAAAUGGUGUGUAUCCCUAUCAACAAUAUCAACAGUAACAUCAUUGUUAUUUAAGAUUUAUUUGUUAUGAAUGUAACGAGACAACAUACAAUCAUAGACGAGACAAUCUUGUCAACAUAUCGAGAUGACAGUGCUCGAGGAUAGUUCUAUUUGAAUUCGUUUUCGUACUUUGAAGUUGGUGGCCACUUUUUUUCUUGAUUCCGGGUUGAAAGCCCGGCAAUUUUUUUUUCAGGGGUCGCUCUUUUAAACCUUCUAACCUCUUGUACAUUUUCUCGUCUCCUUAAUGAAUAUUAUACUUUCAUAAAAAAUGAAAAACAAAGAGUAUUUGCUACGUCACAGAUGCAUCGCAAUUUGCAAGAGUAAUAAUUGUGAGAGUAGAAAACUAGCCAAUUUACCAUUUGCAUUACGGUAGAAAACUAGCUAGUGGAAGACUAGCUAACCUUCCACUAAGGUAGAAAACUAGCUAAUGAGUCUUACAGUUUUACUUUCUACCUGGGCCGAACAUUUCAUAACUAACGUGUAAGUCCCUUUCUGCUUUCUAUGAUAAUUCUCUUUGUUUUAUUUUUUAUUAUUCAGUUUUGUUCUUUCACCAGAGGAUUUUUUUCAGUGUGCCGGAAAUAUAGCUCGGUACACGUGUAACAAAACAAUGGUUGAUUUUCUUGACAUGGCUUUCUAAAUACCUAAUUAAGAAGAGUAAUGCUACACUUAGUCAAAUUCUUAGAGAAAUUUUGCUACAUUAGUCUCCAGGGUGUGGGAGCAGGCAUAUCCAGAUUUGUCUGUAGGAAAAUAUGAAUCAAAUUCUUAGAGAAAUUAUGUGCAUAUCAGCAGUGGCGGAUCCAGGAAAUAAUGUUUGGGGGGUCAACAAGGAUAGCGCGCACAUCGCGAAAUUUUUUUUUAACAGAAACAGCAUGCAUAUCGUCAUUUCAUCGGAUCUUGGUAGGAUAGCGUGAUCAGCCUCUCGCCGAUAGUUACCAUACUAAAAGGUGCCUUCACUUUCCCUAACAACCAAAAAUAAACAUAAAAUUGGGUUGGAUGGUUCAUAAUAAACAUAAAUUCUGAUGUCAAUAUGGUGGUUCAUAAUAAUAUUUUUUAGAGAUCAUAUUAAUUUAUGUUGAAUAUAAAGAGAAAUAAAGUUGUUAAAUAUGUGGAUGUGGAAAGGGCACACACAUCAUUACCAUUAAUUUAUGUCAAAUAUGUGGAUGUGGACGCAUGGGAACUUUGCAAUCUGCACCAAGACUUAAUGGUGACAUCUUCAACUUGACACACGAACCGAACUGACAGCCUAUGGCUUUUUACACAAAGCAAGCAAUUUGAUGCUAGCUGUACAAAUUUGAUUGGAGAGAAACUAAGAAAAAAAAUUAAAUAAGAAGAGUGUGGUCACGUGGUGUGAAAUAAAGAGAGAGAACGUCUUCGUCUUCGUCUUCCUCUUCCGCCAAACCGAACGAAAACCAGAAGAAACCCAGAAAAAUGCAACAGCUCCUAGAGGUCGCACCAGCAGCUUUAAGGGGUCGCACCAGCAGCUCCAAGGGACCACUAAGGUUAUUUCCAUGGCUUCCAAGGGGUCGUGCGACCCCAUUGACCCUAUUGUGGCUCCGCCUCUGCAUAUCAGUAUAGUUUGACAAAUCAAAGCUAAAAACCGCGUUGCUCCAAUUUUCUUUCUAUUGACUAACGAGCCUGUGAUGUCUAUUAAUUCCCUAGUCUUAAAUCUAACAGUGACGGGCAUUUAUUUGCCCUGACAGACUAUCAAAGCUGUUUGUCGUGUUCCCUAGUCCUAAUCUACCCGCUGUGCAACCCAAUUCGGACCCUGAAAUUGACUCCAUUCUUUGCGUCAACCAACAGUUACAUAAAUAUCCAGAGCUUCAUUUUGCAGCCUUGCUAAAAUGGAGUUCUCAAGUAUUCAUAUUAGCAUUUGGCUUAUUUUCAUCCAACCACUCUUUCUUCUCUUUCUUUUUAGCUCUGCCUCCUCCUCCCGUUUAGCGGGAAAUGAGGUGGAUAGGCUUUCCCUGCUUGCCUUCAAAGCUGAAAUCGUGACCGAUACCCUCGGCAUCCUUAGCCCUUGGAAUGAAUCCCUCCACUUUUGUCAUUGGCCAGGCAUCACUUGUGGCCACAGACACCAGAGGGUUACGGUGCUCGACCUCCAAUCAAGCAGGCUGGCAGGCCACCUAUCUCCCCACAUUGGAAACUUGAGCUUUUUGAGGGCUUUAUACCUCCAGAACAAUAGCUUCAGCCACACCAUCCCUCCAGAAAUUGGUCGUUUGUUCCGCUUGGAAGAACUAUUCCUUGAUAACAACUCCUUCGGUGGUCAUAUUCCAUUCAACAUAUCACGUUGCUCUAACCUCCAAUACCUACGCUUAAAUGGCAACACUCUUAGUGGCGAACUUCCAACUGAAAUUGCCUCAUUGUCCAAGCUUCAGGUACUUGGUUUAGGCAAGAACAAUUUUUACGGGAAAAUCCCACCUUCUUUUGGGAAUCUUUCUUCUCUUUCGAGGCUAUCUUUGCCUCAAAAUAAUCUCCAUGGAGGUAUUCCAAAUAGCCUUGGCCAGUUGAAAGGCUUAACGGGUUUUUCACUGGCUAUGAAUUAUUUGAAUGGUACCAUCCCUCCCUCCAUAUACAACCUCUCGUCAAUUCAAAUCAUUUAUAUGUUUCAAAACAACCUUCGUGGAACUCUUCCACCUGGCUUGGGCCACACUAUAUUUCCAAACCUCGAAACAUUUGUUUUCUAUGCCAACCAAUUCACUGGAUCAGUACCAGCUUCAAUCUCCAAUGCCUCAAACCUUUCAAAAUUUGAUAUCGCAUUCAAUAAGUUUACUGGAAAAGUGCCUAGUCUGGCACGCCUGUCAAAUUUGUCUUGGUUUGAACUUGAUGAAAACAAUCUUGGAAAUAAUGAGGAAGGUGACUUGGAUUUCAUCUCUUCUCUAGUUAAUUGCACCAAUUUAGAAGUGUUAUCUAUCGGUACCAAUAAUUUUGGAGGAGUGCUGCCUAAAUCUAUCAGCAAUCUCUCAACAAAGCUCAAGGGAAUAUAUUUAUAUGAGAAUCAGAUACGCGGAAGCAUUCCCGUCGGGGUUGGAAAUCUUAUCAACUUGGAGAGACUAAGCUUUUAUGCGAAUUUAUUGGCAGGCACUAUACCGAGUUCAAUAUGUAAACUGAAUAAGCUUUAUGGCCUAGAUCUACAAGCCAAUGAACUGUCAGGUAAUGUUCCAUCAUCUCUAGGAAAUCUAACUUCAUUAAGCAAUUUGUAUCUCCGGUCAAACAAGUUAAAUGGAAGCAUACCACAAAGUCUCGGAGACUGCAGGUUUUUGAUAUAUUUGGAUCUUUCCCACAACAAUCUUAGCGGUCCAUUUCCAAAACAAGUCAUCAAUUUACUUGUUCACUUGAAUCUAGCUAGAAACCAACUUACUGAAUCCAUUCCCUUGGAAGUAGGUAACUUACAGCAUCUUGUUUUCUUGAAUGUUUCUGAAAACAAGUUAUCUGGUGAGAUUCCACAAAGCUUAGGGAGUUGCACAAGUUUGACGACUCUGUCUCUGAGAGAAAAUUUAUUGCAGGGGACAAUUCCUAAAUCCUUGAGCUCUUUGAAAGGAAUUGAAGAUUUUGACCUCUCUCACAACAAAUUGUCUGGCAUAAUUCCCAACUACUUGGGGAGUUUCCCCUUCUUGCAUAAUUUGAACCUCUCAUUUAACGAUUUUGAAGGCGCAGUACCAAUCCAAGGAGUUUUUAAGAAUGCAAGUGCGGUAUCUGUUGUGGGAAACACACGGCUUUGUGGAGGUAUACCUCACUUAAGAUUGCCUAAAUGCAUCUCCAAGCAAUCUAAGCGCGGGUUAUCUCCUAAGAUGAACUUAAUUAUCUCAGUUUCCUGUGGGGUUGUCGGCUUGGUCUUGGUGUUGUUACUUGCUCUUCUUUAUCGAUCAAGAAAGGCUAGAGCGCUCAAGUCAACUUCAGGAUCAUCACUGGGGGUUUCACUCUUGAAACUGUCCUAUGGAGAUCUCCUCAAAGUAACUGAUGGGUUUCUCUGCUUUGAAUCUGAUUGGUUCUGGAAGUUUCGGGUCCGUAUACAAGGGAGUUCUCAAUCAGCAUGAAGAAAUAAAUGUUGCGGUGAAAGUACUCAAUCUUCAAACUUCAAGAGCUUCUAAAAGUUUCAUAUCUGAAUGUGAAGCCUUGAAAAGCAUUAGGCAUCGAAAUCUUGUCAAGCUACUGACUGCUUGUUCAAGCAUUGACUUUCAAGGAAACGAAUUCAAAGCCCUGGUGUAUGAGUUCAUGGUGAAUGGAAGCCUAGAUGAGUGGCUGCACAUAUCAGCUCAAGAAGUAGGUAGGCCAGCCAAUCUGCCAAAGAAUCUGAAUCUCACUCAAAGAGUUAACAUUGCCAUCGAUGUAGCGUAUGCUUUGGAUUAUUUGCACAACCGCUCCCACAUGCCAAUAGUUCAUUGUGAUAUAAAGCCCAGCAACAUUUUGUUAGACAAUGACAUGACUGCUUGUGUUGGUGAUUUCGGUUUAGCAAGGUACCUCCGGGAUGCUUUUUGCCCAUCUCCUUUGCACGAGAGCAGUUCCAAUGUCAUAAAAGGCACCAUAGGCUAUACUCCCCCAGGUAAAUUUUCUUUUGUAUAUAUUUUAUUUGUGCUUCCAGUAUGGUUUUGCAUAUAGCAUAAGUUUUUUGAAGUCACACAUAAGAACAAAGCUAUGUUUUUGUGCAUAUAACUUAAGAGUAUGGAAUGGGAGGCGAGCUGUCAACAUAUGGCGAUGUGUAUAGCUACGGAAUACUGUUGUUGGAGAUGUUAACUGGCAAGAGGCCGACAGAUGACAUGUUUAAAGGUGGUAUGGACCUGCACAAUUUUGUUAUAACGGCUCUACCAGAACGUGUGGGAGAAAUAUGUGAUCCACUACUUGUUCAAAUAGAAGAAAGCAGCAGCAGUACUAAUCCCAGAAGUAAUAGGGGGAAUCAUGCCCCAAAUGAUCAAAGAAAAAGGGUUGUGGAGUGCUUGACUGACAUUGCAAGAGUAGGAGUUGCUUGUUCUGUAGCGACGCCGAGAGAGCGAAAGGACAUGAGCAAUGUGGUAGCUGAAUUGAGUCUAAUAAGGGAUGUGCUAACUGGAACUAGGAUGACCAGAGAGAAUCUGUGAUGACGACCUAAGUAGUGAGUAAUAAUACCCUGUUAUCAUUAAAUAAAAUCCCAUGACAGUGCUUGAAUUUUGCAUGGUGAUCUUCUGAUUGAUGACGAGGAGGACUGGAACAAGUGAAGUGGAUUUUCCCGUUUUGCAAUUUCAUUUUGUAUGUUUUGUGAAUGAUCUUAAUUUGUAAGAUCAUCUUUAUGUUUGCUUGGAAAUUUGAAAUUUGUCAAUUUAAGGUUGGUUCAUGUUCUUAUAAUUAAAUUAUGCAAUUUUAAGUUUAGAAUUUGUCAAUUCAAGUUUGGUGUGUGUGUAUAUAUAUGUAUGUAUGUAUGUAUGUAUGCAUGUAUUCAAGCCUUUUCGUACACAGCCUGCAAAAAUAAACGUUAAGCGCACCUCUUGCAUUGUUAAUAAAUUUACUCAUUGCUCAUUUGGUGGUUUUGGUAGCCCAAGUAUCAGGCCGGGUAGGCAGAGAAAUCUUAUUUUUGGGAGUUUGGUUAGGGCGUGUUUGGUAUCGUACUUAAAUGUUUUCAUAAUUUUUUAAAAUAUUUCUUAAGAACAUCUUUUAAGAACAAUUUUAUUUAAGAUUCAAGAACUUGUUUGGUAUGAGAUUUAAAAUGGUUUAAAAAAAUUUAAUUAAAAAUAAAAGGAAAAAAACAAACCUACAACAACUCCCGGUGGGUUCGAGCAUUACUACUAAUUUAAUUAGAUAGAUAGAGAGAUCAAAAGAGAGGGUCGCAAGCAAGGGUGAGAGAGAAAGAGAAGAGAGAGAGCUUAGAGAUGGGCGUGGAUCUCGGGCGGGUUGGGCGUGUUGCAUGGUCAAACCAACCCUAACCCAACCUUUACAAUUUGGGUUGGGUUUGGGUUCAUACGGGUGUAGUCAGGUUCAGGUUUGAAGUAGGUUUAGAUUUAUUUGGAUUGGGUUCGGAUUUGCCCAUGGAGUUCAACCUUAUAACACAUUAUUUUGCAUAACUAUUCAAAUUUUGAACCAAAAAGCGUCAAUAUUAGUUAAAAUUUCAUUUACACAAAAGUUAAAACAAACAACUUAGAGAUCUUACCUCUCUUAAAGUAUUAUCUGUAGCCAAUUUUUGCAUGGAGAUAAUCCAAAUAGCUUGGGACAGUGUUGACCCUAAAAUCUACCAAGCCUACGUGGCGCGCAGGCCGAGUAUAUUCUAAGCUAACUACGUCCUUCGGUGAUUGCGGGGCGUGCCAACUCGUCGGCCGAGGCUCGGCCGAGGAGUAAAUUUGAUGAUGUUGCGUUGGGUCGCGCUACUGACUUCUGCGUCUUGCGAUUGCGGCCGAGAAAGGAACACGUCUCGGCCUCUUGGGUUCUCGAGCCUGAAGACAAGGCUGCUAUUUCUUACAAAGUUCACGAACCGAAUUCGGCUUUCAAUGUGCCGAAUGUAAUAACUGUGACACCUCACCUCGCCGAGAAGGCUAAUGAGAUGACCUCGACCAACAAGGAUUCGAAAACCCUUCUCGACCGAGACUUGGAUAGGUAAUCGACCGUUCUCGCCGCAGUGCUGUUGAUGCCAACGGAAGAUACUGCGAGACCGACCAAUUCUACGGUGACAGAGCUAUCUAUGCCGACUUAAGAUAUCACCGGUUGCUUCCACAGUGCUGUUGAUGCCAACGGAAGAUGUGUCAGCGAAAAAGGAAAAGAAAAAGAUCUCAAGUUGUGAGAGUUUGCGCAGGGCAAUUUUGUGUUGAUUUUGUCGGGCGUUUCCUGAUGCACAGCUUCCGCUAUUUAUAGCACUGGACCCCGAAUCUGAGAUAGAAUCCUAUUCGGACUAGGUUUUCCCUCUCCGGAUCAAUAUCACCUCGACCAGUCCUGUUUUCAUUAGGAUUGUGAACCUAGUCCUUAUUCGAGCCCUAUCCGCUUCUAGGCUGUUAAUCCUGCCGAGAAUCCCUAUUGUAUCAGGACUCGGCUUGUCAUUGCAUUUUGACCUAACCGGCCUAGGUUUGGAAGCCCAUAAGCUGAACGAUCCAUGGUCUUCUUGUCGCAAGGCCUUCCGGGCCGAGAAUGGUUCUACACUCGGCCCAAACUAUUAUUUUGGGCCCAAACAUUGCCCCCUCGCUUCUGAGGUCCUCGGCCUGCAAUCUUCGGCCGAGUUCCGGCCUUGAAGAAGCGAAUCUACCACUCAGAAUCCUCAUACCCGAGUUCCAAGGCGCAUUUAUUGAGCACGAUCGCACGAUCUUGAUCCUGCUAACCUACUCACCACGUGGCGUCCUCUAAUAUGGCCAAUCCCACAUAAUGACGUCUAAGGCGUGCGGCAGCCUGAACUGUCUUGCCAUCAUGACCACUAUCUCAAUCCGAGCCACUACCUCAGUCCGUGAGCCCAUUUGUCAUCGUGCGGUCGUCGAACCGUCUUUUCGUCAUUAAUUUAGCCGUCACACGCAAUCGUGCGCCCCCAAAACCCUAAAACCUUCGGUCUUCUCAACCGCAUUUCCCAAAUGUUCAUCAUGAUCAACAAUUCCUUUGGUCGAUUUUGCCCUUUGUUUUGAAUUUCGAACGAUUGCUCUUCCCCCCACAACUCUAUAAAUACCGAAAUUUCCUCAUUUGUACUUUUACGCUCUCAAACUUCCCAAAAUUCUCUGCCAUUGAUUUCUAGUGCCUCUCCUAUUCCGAGUCUUCGUCUUUAAAUCCCCAACCCAGAAAAACCCUUUUACUCCGUGCUUCUUUUUCAUAAUGGCAUCCUUCAUCUCCAAGCUUUCCAGGGAAUGUGACCAACAUCCGAAGAUCCUUGAUCGGAGCUCGAUCAAGACCAUCCGGUUUGAAAACGACAUGAACACCCAGUACCAAAUCCUGGGUCCUCUCUUCAAGGCUACAAUACCGCCGACUAUCAUCGGCCUUCUACAGGAGCACUGCCUAAAACCCUUGCUUCGAGGGUUUGAAUGGUCGCGAUGGGAUGCGGCUAAACCCCAGGGCUCCUGGCCCUCGACGACCACAUCCUGGGCAGCCUGGGUCGUUCGAAUGGAACGACUCUUCGGCGAGCAAUGGAAGGCCCUUGGCAUCUACGACGCCAUCCUCCUUUCGUCCAUGGAAAUCGUCCCCGACAAGGAACUUCUCCAAGCCGCUCUGUGCUUCUGGUGUUCGGCUACCAACACAAUGGUCCUUCCUCUGGGUCCCAUGGGUCCCACCGUCCUGGAUAUUACUGCCAUUCUGGGGACUUCGGCGACCGGGAUCCCUGUCGACGCGACCCUCUCUGGGCAUCCGUCGAAUAUCGACCUGAAAACGCUCUUCGACCGUCGGGCCUUCGAGACCUUGAGCCGUGACGGUCAUAUCCCGUCGAAGGAAGAUAUUCAGAAGCUCCACAAGAACUUCUGUAAUUACAAACACCCUCUAUCUUCACUUCGCCGGCCGAGGAGAAGAGGACCUGCGAGAGGAGAGCAUGAAGCUUUCCUCUUCUACUGGUACAACAAAUACAUUUGUUGUACCAAGUCAAACAAGUGUUUGGUCGAGAACAUGCCGGUAGCCGAAGCCCUGGCCAGUGGUCACGUCUUGGCGCUGAGUUCCAACAUUCUCGCCCAACUUUUUCCGCUGCCUGGCCGAGGCGACCCUCCAAAAGGUCGACCCGCACCAGAAUGGUCCUCUCUGGGUCUUCCAACUCUGGUUGCAGGUAUACUUCACCUCCAUUCGGCCGGCCAUAGCCGAAUUCUCACCAACAGAGGCGCUUGGGUCUCAAUUGGCCUCUCGACCGACACCUCCCCAUCAAGCCGAAGAGGUAUUUUCGGUACCUCUUCGCCCUCGACGACUUCUCCAACGACGAGUUCCUAAUAUGUCGUCGUCGAGACUAUCCUUCCUCCAUCAGGCUGCCUAUCUCCUCAUGGAGCGCGGAGGAGGACGCCGAUCUCCGUCAGACCUGGGGGGUCGUUUGUGCUUGCCCGCGACCUCCCUCUCGGCUGCGAUGGGAAACGGUCAGGAUGGGAAGUAUAUCAUCCGAACUUCCUCGCCCGACAGCUCGGCUACCUUCAGGGCUGCCCUAUCCCCCUUCUCUUCUCCCGAACGGUCCUAAGCCGUGGACGCGAACCUCGUUCCUCUGAGAAGGAAUGUAGAAUCGCCGUGAAGGAGUUCCAAGAGCGCUGCCAAAAAUUCCGCCUUCGACCAGCCACCCCGGAAACCCAAUGCACUGACACCUUUGGUGAGUGGUGGGAGCAAUACACCCAGGAAUUCUUUGGUGCGCCGGUCGAAGACGUGCUUAGCAGACUCUUUGGUGACCGGCCUAAGAAGGCCUCGGCCCCUCAUCCUCAAGGUACCGGUUUCAUUUUCUUCCUUUCCAUCAACCUUGCAUAUUGAGUUGCCUUACUGAGUUGUCUUUAUCUUUUUAGGUAGUCGGCCUUUGAGAAAGACGGAGGCAGUUGCCGCUGCCACGACCGGGAAAAAAAUCGGUCGUGGCCCAAAAGGACAAACCCGCUGGUAGGGCCGUGCUGAUCAAACGGCCUCGCCAAGAGGCCGAGCCGGCUGUCGAGCCUUCCCCGCCAGCCAAGCGGGUCAAACAAAAUGGCGAAGAAGGGUGCCCGGGAGAUCCACGUUAUCUCCAGUCACACGACGACUCCCAGUGCUUUCUUCUCCCGCCGCCGGCCAUUCUGGGGUCGAGACACAGCCGGCCUCGGCCGCAGAGACGGCCCCAGCGCGGCCUGCCUCUGUGGCCGGCGCAUCAGUUGUACCUCCCUCUGCCGAGAAGGCACCUGUCUCUCAACAGGCGGGUUUCUACGACCGAGGGAAACUUCUCCCAAGAAUCCAAAGCCCUCGGUCCUUGUGUUGGACGAAAGCGAGGGGAGCGACGAGGUCCCGCUGGCGCACCGUCCUCAUACUCGUCGACAACCUCCUCCAAUACCCGAGAUGGCGGUUCAAACCGGUCCCUCCCCGGUUAAUCGUGGCAAGCGCACGGUCGAGGAACCGAUCCCGGUGGCCGAACCUCUAGUUCCUUCUCAGGACCAGGGCGUCCCUGCCUCCUCUGAAGCAGCUGCGCCAGUCGGCCCAUCGGCAGCCGACCGGGGCAAACGGCUGCUCGAGGAACCCGAGGCUACGGCGGAAUCGCCGGUCCAUCCCCAAGACCAAGGCUUCCAUAUUCCUCCACAGGAGGUUACCUCGGCCUUUGUAAGUACCUUCACUCGUCUCCUCCUGAUUACUUUUCCGCUUUAGACCUCUAAACAAAGAAAAAACCAAAUGUCAGGUGCCUAUACAUUCUUUUCACCGUCAAUUCUAUGCGCCGAAGGGUUCUAUAUUUCCUGCGCCUCAGUUCCCCACUCAACUAGAAUUUGUCAAGCAUCAUAUUCAGUUUGGCACAAAAAGUUUUGGGUAAUAGGAAACGUUGCAUCGAAUACAUUGCAAGAAUUGAGCCACGGUCUUAACUAAAAGUUCUCUCCCAGCGGUGCUUAAUAAAUCCCCACACCACCCUGAGAGCUUUUCCCAAAUUCUAUAUGCAAAUGUUUGUUUCUUUGAUUUCCCGAUGAAAACUGGAACUCCUAGGUGCUUAUCAUGAUGAGUCACUGGUUGUACUCCCAAGCAAUCUGCCAACACUUAUUAAUCAACCUCCGUAAGAUUGGUGCUGAAGGCCACACUUUUUUCAAAGUUCACCGCUUGUCCAGAAACCACUUCAUAGGUUGGUAGCAAUUGCCUAACAUGCACACACUCAUCCAAACUUCCCCGAGCAAACAAAAAACUAUCAUCAGCAAACAAAAGAUGAUGGGCACUUAGAGCCUCUUUGCAAAUCUUGAUCCCAUGUAGUUAAUCCAUAGCUUCACUUUUACGUAAUAUUCCCGACAAACCCUCAUCAGAAAUGACAAAUAAGUAUGGGGACAAUGGAUCUGCUUGUCAAAGACCCAGCUUUGGACGUACAAAACCCACUGGAUCACCAUUGACUUUGAAUGAAUAAGUAACUGUAUUAAUACAAACCAUUAUCAAGCCGAUCCAAACCUCUGAGAACCUCAUCUUCCGCAUAAUUGCUUCCAAAUAAUUUCCACUCCAAACGAUGGUAAGCCUUGCAAAUGUCCAGUUUCAAUGCCAUAAUACCAUUCCACCCGGAUGUUUUCUUAUGCAUAUAAUGGGCAAUUUCGGCUGCCACAAGGCUAUUAUCCAAGAUAAGUCUUCCAGGAAUGAAAGCACUUGAUUCGGGGAUAUUAUGCAGAAGAAUACUCUUCAAACGAUUUGUAAGAACCUUGGCAAUGAUCUUGUAUAGAAUGUUGCAAAGGCUAAUGGGACGAAGAUGUUUCAUUUCAGUUGGGUCCUUUACUUCAGGAAUUAACGUUACAUGCAUAUAGUUAAUCUUAAAAAGCAUGCGUCCUAACUGAAUCAUAGACCGAAUCCCAUUGCACACAUCCCGUCCAACAAUCUCCCAAUGCUUUUUUCUUGCUGCUUAAAACCAUAAUAUUCUUCAUCAACCCCAAAUUUACUUCCUUGCCCAACAUCAUGGGCCUACAAACCACCCCAACUUCAUUUCUAAUUCACCAAAGAAGAAACAUGCUUUAAAUGAGCUCCAAAUAUACAGGUAGUACACCAUAUGUUUUAUAUAAGCAGUGAGAAAUUUUAUUUUCAAGUUAAUAACUUUUUAACACACAUAUACCACACGUGAUGUACCACUCCAUGUACCGGUUACACUGAAAAAUCUCUCCUCAUUAGGAGUGAUAUGCAUGCAUCCAAUAGCAUUUACACCACCAUAUCUCGCCUCAUUUACAGGUAUUCCCAACAUCGGACAUCCCUAGAUUCACGAAAUGAAGACUGAGACCUCAAUCGAUACGCAAUCAGAGCCCUAACGUCCAUUGACUCUUCCUACUCCCAUUAUUGCCUCCUCAUUCAAACCAGGAAUCAAAGGUCCUCGAUUUUCAAAUGUCCGCAUAAAUAAGCGUGUGGGGUAGUCAUUUGUGGGAUGGUUUUGAAUUAGAGUGGUUGUUUAACUCUCUGGCUUCUGAUGUAAACAUUUUGAUUCAUAUUUAAUAAUAUCUAUUUUUCAAAAAAAAAAAAGCCUUUAUUUAUUUAUCUUCCAGUUAUAGAGUAAAAGGCAAUUCCCAUGAUUGGUUCUAAAAAAAUUUGGAGCAUUUGUACUCGGAUUUGGAUCCGCUUUGGACCUUAGUGUCUGGAGCCUCCUCAUCCACAAAUCUGGGUCGCUGAUUGAUUUGCAAAUUAAAUCAGGGUUAUUGGUUGUGUAUGUUAUGCUUUGGCCGGUCAAUGCGAAACCAAACUCGGAUUAUCUCACCAAAAUACAAACCCACAGUUGAACAUUUUAAAAUACAAGAAAUAAAGACACUGAGAGAAUUACGAGGUUCAGCAAAAUCAUGCCUACGUCCCCGGAGAGAUAUUGCUCUUCACUAUGAGAAUAACUAAUACAAGAUACACUUGAGUUUAAUCGACAUAACCCAAACCCCAAUCCCCUGUACACGCGCACAAAUUUUUCCCAAGAGCCUCACUCUACCCCCAAGAGUUUCUCACUCUCGCUCUCUAUUUUCUCUCCUUUGUGUUCUCCUCCGGAUGCUCACACAAUGCAUAACUAUUUCCUUCACUUAUAGUCAUGCACCAACAAUUAUGCCCACAACCAAGACCAAGAAAAUCUUAAGUUCACAUGGCAUAUUCAACACCCUUUUCUAUACCUAGCCUAUAGAGUACAACUUUUUCUCCAUUUGCCAUUUAAUGCAUAAAAAAUAAAAACAUGCACAAUUGCAUGCAAGCAAAACACAAAGUCAAGACUUGCUUGCUUCCAACUUUGCUUGUGGCAGUCACCAUGUCUUCCCUUGAAACAAGACUUCCAUGCCACAACCGAAAGCCAAACACAAAGUCACAAACGGCUGCUGCCAUUUCCAUGUAGCAUUAAGAAAGUUAUACUAUCAAAAUUGUUGCCAACUCAUAAGUAUAUGAGCCAAACACAACAGUGUGUGGUGAGCCAGGAAAAUGAAUUAAAGGAGACCGUUGGAUUCAAUUUGCCGGCCCAGAUUGAUGGAUGAGGAAGUUCCGAACACUUAGGUCGGAGCGGAUCCAAAUCCUUUAUCCUCACCACCAUAGACUAUAUAGUGUAUGCGCAUUGCUUACCAUAUACCUCAUCAUUUGUAACGUGUUUUUUCAUCUAAUUCUAGUUAGCUUUUACAUAAAAUAUUUCUUUUUUAAUUUUUUUUUAAAUUAAUCCGAAUUAAGUGAAAAAACACAUGACAAAUGAUGAUGUGUAUGAUGAGCAUAUAGUGAGAAAUGGAUGAUAUACCCUUUUUUUUUUUUUUUUUAGGAGAACGAAAUGGAUGAUAUAAAUUGGAACAUCAUAUGCGGGACGACUUUCCGGAAGUAUUCUUAUGAAGUCAACUUUCCAGAACAGUUUUGACUGGNAAAUAUAGCCUCUCCGGCCGGCAUCAUUGUCUUGCGCGAGGAGGCAGCCGAUAGAUUCUUCGGCCGCCGAGAUAUAGAGCUUCAGAGGUUUACCACGCCGAGGGGAACUAUGACAGGGGGUUUCGUGAGGGAUACUUUGAUCUGUGUAAACGCCGCCUGAUGCUCGCCGUUCCACACGAAUUUAUCCGAGUCCUUGAGUUUCAAAAGCGUGGAGAACGCUUUCAUUUUACCGGCCGAGUUAGCAAUAAAUCGGCGGAGGAAAUUGAUCUGGCCAAGCAAGGACUGGAGUUGUUUCUUCGUCGUUGGGGGUGGGGCAUCGACGAUUGCGCGUGCUUUAUUCGCAUCGACUUCAAUUCCACGGUGAUGCACGAGGAAACCAAGGAAAUUUCCGGCCGACACGCCGAAAGCACAUUUGGCAGGAUUCAUCUUGAGGUUGUGCUGACGCAUGCGGAGGAAAGCCUGUCGGAGGUCGUCCAGAUGUGUCCGUCGGCGUUUAGAUUUGAUGACAACGUCGUCGAUGUAAACUUCGACGAUGGUUCCGAUUAAGUCGUGGAAGAUGGUGUUCAUCGCUCGUUGGUAUGUGGCGCCGGCAUUUUUGAGGCCGAAUGGCAUAACAACCCACUCGUAAGUACCGAGUGCCCCCGGGCAACGGAAAGCAGUUUUAUGCACAUCGGCUUCGGCGAUGAAUAUUUGAUUGUACCCAGCAUGCCCAUCCAUAAAGGAUAACAUCUCAUGAUUUGCCGCGGCGUCGAUUAACAGGUCUGAAAUCGGCAUUGUAUACUCAUCUUUGGGAGUUGCCAGAUUCAGAUUUCUGAAAUCGAUGCAUAUGCGCAGUGCACCAUUUUUCUUUAAAACAGGAACGAUAUUCGCCAACCAUUCAACAUAUCGAGCUGUCCGAAUAAACCCGGCUUUCAAAAGCCGAACCAGCUCGUCCUUGAUGCUGAGUUGCACUUCCGUCGAAAAUCGACGCGGUGGCUGACGGAAAGGUUUACAUCCGGGCUUAAUACGUAACUCAUGCUCGACAAGAGUACGAUCUAAGCCGGGCAUCUCAUGGUAGCUCCAAGCAAAGCAAUCUUUGAACUCCGUAAGCAAGGCACGAAGCUCAUCUUUCAUUUGUUGGGGAAGUAAAGCACUAAUAAACAAAGGCCGUGGGUCAUCGGCCGUCCCAACAUUAAUCUCUUCCAGAGGAUCCUUAACUUGGGGCCGAUGGUCUUCGAGCGCGGCCGGGGCGGCUUGAAUUUUAUCAAGAGACAAAACAGGACCACUAUCUCCUUCGGCCAGGAACUCGACGAGGUUAACGCCCGAAUUUGGCUGUUUAGAUAUAGUAUACCAAUGGGCCAGCAGUCGUUCCAUAGUAGAUGAAACCGCGGCCCUACGUGCUUCUCGAUCGGUGUCAGACAUCGGCCUCGGGGAGGAAAUUGGCUAAUCCGAGUCUCGCCGAAUCCUGGUGGACAGUCUCGGCGCCAACCUCGAUAGCUUUCUGUACAGAAAUCCGAGUCGGCCGGCCUUCAUCAUUGAAGCCUUGCAAAGUAAUGUAGCCGACGUGGUCAUCAUAAUACCGUGCUUGGAUCAUGUUAGUUUCAAAGGGCUGGUUAUCGGCUGGGUGAACAGUGACCGAUUUGCCGUCCCAAAAAACAAGCACUUGAUACAAUGAGGAAGGAAUACAACUGGUUUGAUGAAUCCAAUCUCGACCGAGCAGUGCAUUAUACUCGGUUUUAGAAUCAACUACAAAAAAAAACGGUCAUGUGAGUGCGACCGGCAAUAGUCACAGUUAACGGAAGUACACCCUUGGUUUGCGAUUUGUCGCCGACGAAACUACUCAUUGUGAUCCCUGACGGAAUAAGUUCGUCGUUCGAGCGACGCAAGGCCUUCAUGAUGUUCAGAGGCAGGAUAUUGACGGUCGCGCCACAGUCGACAAAAACUUUAGAAACGGGAUAUCCCUCGAUGUGGGCCGUCACAUACAAUGGCUUUAAAUGGUGGAGUGCGGCCGAUGACGAACGAGGAAAUAAUUCGGUCAAAGCGGCCUUCAGACUGUCAUCUUUCGUUGUUGACUCAUCUUCAGCAAUAGACACAAAAUCCACAUGGCCAGUUUCCUCGGCGACUACAUCACCAUCGAGGAAAUUCGGUUGAGCCGUGCUUGAUUGAAAAUCAGCAGGUAACACAUGGACCAUACUAAUUUCCAUGUUAUCCAAGACUGACGGGCCCAUCGGGUUGGGACCCUCCUCGCUAACCUCAUCCCUCGUUUGGUCGACGACUGCGGGCUCUGUUUUUGUCAGAGUUGGACAAAAAGACUCCUCUGUCCCUUCUUCGAGGGUUUGAACCUGCGGUGCUGCUUCGGCAGCUUGUUGGUUCUGUGUGACCGCCGCAGGCGAGGUUGAGAUCGACAGUGUGCUUGGGGUCAGGACCUGCACCUGCUCUUGGUAGUAUAGCCGGGCAUCUCUGGUAUCGAGAUAAGCAUCCAGACGUGCAACACGUGCUACUUCAUCGGUCGUGAGGCCGAAGAGAGAAACCGCCGAAAAUACUUCGAAGUGAUAUCGUAAAUACUGAAGAUCCUCCAUUGAGAAAGGAAGGUCGGCUGCAACGAUAUCAGUGUAUGGGUCGACUUCAAAUCCAAGGACACGGGCUUCUCGUAUGUGCUGGAACCUUGCCUUCAAUCCUGGGUUUUCUGGAUGAUGCGCUCGGCGUCCGGACAAGUCAGGACUAGAUCAAUGGUGUCCUGGCAUGCUUUCGGCAAACCAUACAGAUCGUUGGCCGAAUGUUUCUUAUGGAAUUCGCGCAUAUAUUCUAAAGCCUCCCCAAGGAAUGGUGGAUGCAAAUUCCGUCGAAUUUUAAUCAACGGUUCUUGUAUAGCUGGCUGGGCUAAUUUGCUCUCGGCCUCUUGCCUGAAAUGCUCGAGGCGUGCCUUCAUCUCCCCUGGGCGAAGAAGAAGUUUGAUCCGUUUAUUGGCUUCUUCGAACGUGGUCUCGAUAUCUCGGUCGACCAACCGUUUCCCCUGACCCAACUCUGUCAUAAUAGCUGGAGAUGGUCGUUCAUCACCAGUAGCAACUGUGUCCUUCGGCCGCCAUUUAGGGGCCGAAGUUUCUUGGGCUGCCUGCCGACGGGCCAUGCAAUCUAUCCUCUGGUGCCGGCGUUUCUGGGAUUUGGACAACGCGGUGUAGACGCCUUUCGAAGAAUGAUAUGUGUACCAACGUUGAUCUUUAGGCUCGGGAGGUUUGAAGGUUUUUUGACUCCGCGACGAUUCCGAACUACCAGAAUUACGUGUAUAAUAGUCCUCGUCAUAAAAUGAAGCGCCAAAAUCGAGGCGCCGCCUGACUGAGGAUGUCUCUUCCAUCUUCACUUUUGGGCCGAGCCUAUCAAAAACCCCUUGGUGUCGGCCGAUGCCGGCUGCUUUUUGCUGAAUUGCGGCCGUAGGUCGUUUUGUGAUAGGCGAAGAUGGUUUCUCCUCUGGCUCACUGCCGACCUUCGCUCUACAUUUACUGCAAAAAACCGCCGUCCCACUAUCUUCAUCGGUGCUAUAAUCCUUCAUAGGUUUAACAAUAGCGGGUCCUGUUAAAGCUGUAGGUGGUUUGUUCGAACGAAAAUCGGCCAUGAAACGUGGCCGAGAAUUCUGAGUGCGAAAGUCUUGCGUCGCAACAACUUCGGCCUUCCCUUUUCCUUUGUCCUUAGGUAGGUAUGCAUCGACCAUAUUCACGGUUGCUGUGGGGAAAGGAUCAGCAUCAAUACUCAUCUUCUUCUCUGGAAAUUUCAGUUUUCCAUUAUCAAUCCAGCUCUGGACGUUGUCUCGAAAUACGACACAAUUGUUUGUCGUAUGUUUACUUGAAUUAUGGUAUUUGCAAUACACCUUUCCUUUAAGCUCUUCGGCCUUGGGAAUGUUGUGACCAGGCCGAAGUUUGAUGAUCCUUGCUGACAACAGUUGAUCAAAAAUUGCGUCAGCCUUUGUAAUAUCAAAAGUAUACACUUUUAACGGUUUCAAUGUUCCUUCAGUGGCCGAGCGGCUUUUGACUUCCCUGGAGUCAACUUGAGUCAAGGCCUUGCAAACGUAUGGCUUAUCUAUUACUAUCUCAGCCGCAUCCACACUAACGCAUUCAUCCUCGGUUGACGCAUAACUGACGGUAGGAUUCUUGUAAAUCGUCCCCCGAGACGGAGUUUUCGAAAUCUUUUCCUCGCGGAGCAAAUAAUCAUACUGUUCGACAUGUUGGGCUAAUUCAUACAUAUCCCGAACAUUUGCCCCCAAGAAUUUCUUUUUGUAUUCGACGUCGAGGCCGUUCAAAGCAAGCCGGACGAACUCGACUUCGGGCAAGGGUACUCGGCACCAAUUCCUGGCUGAUUUGAACCUGGUAAGAUAAUCCAUUGGGGACUCAUCUGAUGCCUGAGCCAUCCUUGCUAAUGAAGAAACCGACACCUCCAACCCUGGUCGAUAAAAACUGCUCGUGGAAUUUCUCGACCAACUCCUCCCAGUUUUGGAUGGAAUUAGGAGGGAGAUUGAUAUACCAAGCAAAUGCCGAGCCGGUCAACGAGAAGUUGAACAGCCGUAAUUUAUGGAAAUCACUAUGAACAUCGCCGCAUUGCGCGGUGAAACGAGCCACGUGCUCCAACGAAGACAAGGACGAUUCACCGGCAAAAAGGCUAAAAUCCGGAAUCUUGAAACCUUUCGGAUAUCCGAACGUUUCUAUGUAGGCCGGGUACGGAUGGAUAAACUUAGGAAACUUCGGCCCUUUCUUCAUGGCCGAGUCGAUCAUCCGCUGAACCUCGGUCAUAUCAACAGGUGUUGCUUCGACCCUCUGGUCGAUUCCGUCCGACCUACUAUUUGACCCUCCGACCUUUUCCAAGUCAAUUGGUUUGGGCCGAGCAGGAAUUGGCUCGGCCUGUACCAUUGGUAACGGAUUAUUUCUUGGUGGCAAGCGCUGGAAAGGAUCGAAAGGCCUGCCGUCACUGAAUUUACUAACCAGCAUUUCGAGCAGUCUGGUUUGCUGCUCAGUGGAAUUGAGUAUCACGUCAUGUAGCUUGUCAAUACCUCGGCUAAACGUCUGCUCAACUGACCGAGACUGCUCGUCGAGUCGCUUUCGAAGAAACGACCUUGUUGGUGGGUCAGAUCCUUCACCGCCAUCCUCGUCGCAAUCCUCCACUAUCCCUUCAUUGAGAACACAAGUGUUCCUGUUAGGGAUUUCUAGACUGCGGUGUUGACCGCCGAGAUUAACUUCCCUUUCUCGGUGAGUCGCACUUGUGGACUCAGGUGUCCCGGCGCUAAGGGGAUUCUGCGCCUGUGGCACACUUUGUCCUACGUUCUGAAUCGGUAAAUCGGCUGUUGAUUUUCCCAUAGCUGUUUUCUUUUUUACCGAUCGCGUUUCAAUUGGCAUGAACUUCGUAGUUUUAGCACUGGGUCCCACUGGGCGUGCCAAAAUGUUGACCCUAAAAUCUACCAAGCCUACGUGGCGCGCAGGCCGAGUAUAUUCUAAGCUAACUACGUCCUUCGGUGAUUGCGGGGCGUGCCAACUCGUCGGCCGAGGCUCGGCCGAGGAGUAAAUUUGAUGAUGUUGCGUUGGGUCGCGCUACUGACUUCUGCGUCUUGCGAUUGCGGCCGAGAAAGGAACACGUCUCGGCCUCUUGGGUUCUCGAGCCUGAAGACAAGGCUGCUAUUUCUUACAAAGUUCACGAACCGAAUUCGGCUUUCAAUGUGCCGAAUGUAAUAACUGUGACACCUCACCUCGCCGAGAAGGCUAAUGAGAUGACCUCGACCAACAAGGAUUCGAAAACCCUUCUCGACCGAGACUUGGAUAGGUAAUCGACCGUUCUCGCCGCAGUGCUGUUGAUGCCAACGGAAGAUACUGCGAGACCGACCAAUUCUACGGUGACAGAGCUAUCUAUGCCGACUUAAGAUAUCACCGGUUGCUUCCACAGUGCUGUUGAUGCCAACGGAAGAUGUGUCAGCGAAAAAGGAAAAGAAAAAGAUCUCAAGUUGUGAGAGUUUGCGCAGGGCAAUUUUGUGUUGAUUUUGUCGGGCGUUUCCUGAUGCACAGCUUCCGCUAUUUAUAGCACUGGACCCCGAAUCUGAGAUAGAAUCCUAUUCGGACUAGGUUUUCCCUCUCCGGAUCAAUAUCACCUCGACCAGUCCUGUUUUCAUUAGGAUUGUGAACCUAGUCCUUAUUCGAGCCCUAUCCGCUUCUAGGCUGUUAAUCCUGCCGAGAAUCCCUAUUGUAUCAGGACUCGGCUUGUCAUUGCAUUUUGACCUAACCGGCCUAGGUUUGGAAGCCCAUAAGCUGAACGAUCCAUGGUCUUCUUGUCGCAAGGCCUUCCGGGCCGAGAAUGGUUCUACACUCGGCCCAAACUAUUAUUUUGGGCCCAAACAGACAGUUGAAAAGUUUAUUAUUUCCUUCCAUAUACAACCUCUCUUCAAUAUAAUACUUUUCUGUCACGGAACUCUUCCUCCAGGCUCGGAUCACCCUUUAUUUCCAAACAUAGUAAAUACUGCUUACAAAUUACAAUGGAAACCAAUUUCCAGAAAUGUUUUGGAGGUUUAAAGAUUCAGGAAUUGCACGAGUUUCCAAAACUAUUUGGGAGUUGCAUGAGUUUGAGGACUGUCUCUGAGAGGUAACUUAUCGGAUGGGACAAUUCCUUAAUCCUUGAGUUCUUUGAGAGGGGUUGAAUAUUUCGAUCUUUCUCGUAGCAACCUUUCCGGCAGAAUUCCCAACUAUUUGGAGCGUUUCAAGUUGCAGAAUUUGAACCUCUCAUUACAAUUUUGAAGGUGCAGUAGCAAUGCAAGGAAUUUUAGAAAACACAAAUUUAAUUUCUAACAUGGGAAACACACGGCUAUAUGGCGGUACACCUAAUUUAAGAUUGCCCUUAUGCUUUAUCUAAGAAAGUACUACUUCUUAGGCUGAAAAUAUUCUCUCAAUUGCUUGUGGGGUUGUUGGAUUGAUCGUAGUGUUGUAACUUGUGCUUCUUUUGCCGAUCAAGAAAAGCAAGAGAACUUAAGUCAACUUGAGGAUCUAGGGGUUUCGCUCUUGAAAUUGUCUUAUGGAGAUCUCAACAAGACAAUUCUCAAUCAGCAUAGGAAACUACCGACUGCUUGUUCAAGCAUCGAUUUUCACGGAAACGAGUUCAAGGCUUUGGUUAACUGGUUCAAGGUGAAAGGGAGCCUAGAAGAAUGGCUGAAUCGGUCAAUUCAAAGAGUAAACAUGUCAACCAAUCUGCAGAAGCAUUCAGAUCUUAUUCAGAGAGUAAACAUUGCCAUUGACCUAGGGUCUGCUCGGGAUUAUUUGCACAAUCGCUCUCACAGGCCAAUAACCGAUUAACAUUCUCUUGGACGAUGGCCUGACUACCUGUUUUGGUGAUUUCGGUUUAGCAUGUUAUUUGUCAGAUGCUUCUUCCAUACUUCCUUCACCUGAAAGCUCUUCGAACGGAAUAAAAGAUUUCAUUAAUUUUUUGAAGUUACACUUAAAGAACAUGGCUUUUCUUUUUUGCGCAAAUAAAUUAUAGAGUAUGGAACGGGAAGUGAGAUGUGAGCUUAUGGUGAUGUCUACAGCUAUGGAAUUCUGCUAUUUGAGAUGCUGACUGGCAAGUGGCUGACAGAUGACAUGUUUAAAGAUGGUAUGAACCUACACAACUUUAUCAUGAUGGCUUUGCCCAAAUGUGUGGAGGAAGUAUGUCGUCCACUGCUUCUUCAAAGAGAAGAAAGUAACACUAGCACUAAAGCCACAUACAAUGCGGGAUAUCGUGCCCCAGAUGAUGAAGGACAAAGAGUUGAGGCAUGCUUGAUUUGCGUUGCAAGAAUAGUAGUUGCUUAUUCUGCAGUAAUGCCGAGAGAGCGAAUGGACAUGAACAAUGGCGUAGCUGAAUUAUGUUAAAUACGGGGUUAGCUGACAAGAAACCAAUUGCAGCAAUUAACAAGUUUUUUAUUUUUAGAUAAACAAUCAAUUUAACAAUUUGAUAACAAAUUCUUCAAAACCACAACUUCCACUCAGUUUCUCAGCACCAGAAAUAUCAAACCAACCCAAAACCAACAACUUUCAACAAAAUUGCACAAAAGAAUCAAAAUUUAAUUGCUAUACCCUACCUCCUCCAUUCUCUGAGAGCCAAGCCCUCCUCAGGCAGCAUCUCCGACGGAGGCGGCAAAGUCGGAUCGUCGGACACGCCAAAACCUCCAUCAAAGCCCUGGCCGUUUGAUUCGGCGUAGAUCGACGGAGGAGAGAAGGCCUCCGACGCCGGGUGAGUGGCGAAAGCGUCGUCUACGGCGGAGCCGUGGAGGAUUGGGGAAUACGUGGCGGAGACCCUGAGCGACUCGGAGUCGACAAAGGAGUCGAAUCACUGGGAGGAGGGUCUGGGGUCGUAGCCAACCGUCGUCGUCGAACGGGCGAGUUGAGCCGGUGGUCGGGACCUAGUCGUCUUCGGGCUGAGGGAACGAGGCCAUGAUGCACUGAUGAGCGAAAUGCUCCCAAGGGCAAAACUCACGCAGGAAGAAUAUCGGCACGCUUUAUGUUAGGCUGGGCCGACUCACUGGGCCUUCAUUUGGUCCCUGACAAUAUCUGGUCCAAUGUUUGAAUUCACUUCCCUAGAGCCCGCUUCCGCUCCUCGAUUCGCUACCCAGAAGAUCAAGUUCUCAAGGUUCGAUGUUUCCUCUGAACUUCUU
RNAcentral lists this long non-coding RNA (49876 nucleotides) under Malus domestica (apple). RNAcentral describes it as "long non-coding RNA (MDOM_LNC020962)". Lineage: Eukaryota; Viridiplantae; Streptophyta; Magnoliopsida; Rosales; Rosaceae. The record is from RNAcentral.